Molecule: long non-coding RNA, 51423 nt
Filed under: Ananas comosus (pineapple)
Lineage: Eukaryota; Viridiplantae; Streptophyta; Magnoliopsida; Poales; Bromeliaceae
Description: long non-coding RNA (ACOM_LNC024536)
Source: RNAcentral
UUUAGAAAUCAAAUUUCAAAUCUUUUCGACAUCAUUUGCCUAAUGAUCAAAGGGUUGGCAAAAUUUGUAAUUUUAAUGGUGAUAAGAGGCGUUUUCUUGUUUAACGCGUAAAGAUAUCCAAAUCAUAUGAAUUUUUGUUAGAAAAUUCUUUAACUAUUUAAACAAGAUAUAUACUCUGAUCUUGAUUACAAAGACUCUCUUAUCAUCAAUUUUUUAAAGAGUAUUCAAUUUUCAGCCAUUCAUUUUUCUGUUCACUUGAUGGAAAAAGAACAAUAUCGAAAGUGCGUGAAAAUUGAUUUCUAUGUAGUUUAAAUGGUUUAGAUCAUAUUAACGGAGCUGAUCGUCAAUUUGGAAGCUCUAUCAUCGAAAACAAGUCGUAGUAAAACGGCUCGUUUACUACCGAUAGUAUUCUAGCUCAACUCCAUAUAUAUUAUAUAUAUAUAAUAUAUAUAUAUAUAUAUAUAUAUUAUUAUAUAUAAUUUAUAUAUAUAUAUAUAUAUAUAUAUAUUGUCACGCCCCAGUUUCAUAGCGAAAGCCCAUAUGCGUCAACAGACCCGGCGAACGGACAGAGUCUUUUCUGUCCGCACAAAGCGACCAACGAGACAGGAGUAGUGACAAAGGAAUCAAAGAGUCAACAUUAACGGUUCUAGAGUCCACAGCUAAACACAAAGUAUCAAAGCGAUAUAUGUAAAACUAAACUAAACAACCAGCACUAUCCAUACAAACAUAGAACCAUAUAGUUCAAAAUAAAAAUAUAUAAGUAAAGACCCUGACCCAACAAGUCCUGAUAUACAAUAUACAAACUCAAAACGAACUAGGUGGUAGUCCUCUAUAUACACGGAUUGGAGAUGCUAUCUAUUACGUUGUUCUCUUCUCUCGAUGAUCCGUUGAUAUAGCUGUAUCUAAAAAGUAAACAAUAAGAGAGCGUGAGAAUUACUAAACAGCAGUUCCCAGUAGGUACGGUCGGUGACAACCACGACCUUCCAACUAGGUCUACUAGAGGCACGAAUAGAAAAAAAAAAAGAAAAAAAAGAAAAAAAAGAAAAAAAAAGUAUAGUAUACAAUCAAAUGAGCUAAUGAGUUUGAUAAGGAUAAAUAUAUAUUUACUAACUUCUAUAUAUGUAUACAAUUUAUCAUGCUUCUAUGCAACUAGUCUAUCAUAUCUCUAUGCAUGGAAUAUGCGAUAAUGAAGCUGUCUGAUAUAUGCAUCAACUCUAAUAUUGAUAAAUAGAAACGGUACACCACACAAAGUAAAUAACCAUGCCAUGUAUCAACUAGGGUACUAAUACUCAAUGUAAGGUAUCACUCACUCAUACACAUGCAACUCAAUCAACACACUAUGACCCAAUCAUAAACAGACUAACUUGUAGGUCACAUAUGUAAGGAAUAGGUGACAAAGUGACUAGAAUAUGCAUCAAACCUAAAUUAAAACAAAAAUAUAAAUGCAUCACAUACACAAAUCAAUACAUAUUUGGGACCACAAAGCAUUUUGUUUUAGAAAAUAUCAAACCAACCUUCAAAACAACUAAAACAAGAAUAAAAUAAUGCAAAACUACAAACCCCAAAGGAAUUGCCUGAACUACAGGAACAUUAGGAACGACAUGGAUUAAAUUAACAUUUCAACUCAAAAGUAUAACUAUACCUCAGAAGAGUAAGAGGGUCUCUCGUUCAAGCACGAUCACUCUCUCAAGGUCGAUUCUUCGCCUUUCUCCUUGGUUCGCAACGCAAGUGCUCGCCUUUUGCCUUCGCCUAGGUUUCGAAUCGGCUCGUCCUCCGAAAGGGAUUGAACCCUAGAUUUCUCCAACAAAGAAACGAAUGAUAAUUAGCUUUCUUUCUCUUCCUCUGCCAUGUUAAAAGUAAGGGCAUUAUUGUCAUUUCAUGCUUUCUGUUAAUGGCGUAGUCCCCUGUGGACAAUUCUGUAAUUAGGAGAGGGCAAAGUGUAGGUUUUUAAAUGUCAUAGGGGAAAAGUGAAAAAGCGGAUUUUUAUAGGGGGUUUUCUGUAAUUUAGCCAAAAGGAAAACAUACAUACCAAAUCAUUUCAUAGGGUUUCCAGAGAGAAGCCUUAAAUGGUUUAGAGUUGAAGGACAAUGAUGCCUUCAAAGAUGAAGUAAUCUCAGAGAAUCAUUUAUCAGACGUGUAUAAACGGCGCUAUUACAAACAGCAGAACUUAACAGCAUAGCAGGGUAUUAGCAUAUGAUACUCCAAAAAGAAAACUGAGUUUAAAAAUUAAGCAACAAAAAAAAAAAUUAAGCAGUGCUAGGAGCAGCAGUAGUCUCGGCAAACUUCUGCAUUAUGCUUAGCAUUUAAGAAAAUUCAAUUUAAACUAAGGCAUAUUAUUCUUACACCAAGGAUAACAUGUUGUAUAUGGCUAGAUAAUCAAACAAAGUUAUAUUGUUAUAAUCUAGCAUAACGGGAGUCAAUGCAUAAAUGACAAAUAGAUAAGAAGGUGCACUUCAUCAAGAAGUAUUACUUAGAUGGAGAUAACAAAUCAUGUCAUAACAUUGUCGUUUUCUUGUUCUGGAAUGGGCCUUUCCAAUUCUUUUAGAUUCACGCUCUACACUGAGAAUGAUUGUCUGAACUCUGAAUACCAUAAAUAUAGGGAAGGUGGACUCACUACUACGUUCUUCUUACUUCUUAUGAUGUUUUUUUUGGCUUUUAGAUGAUUCCGUACCAUGCCUUUCCCAAUACUAGUUAGUUAUUCACCAUAAUAUUCCAUAGGUUGGCAAUCCAGUAUCACUAAAAUAGCAACAGUAAGUACAAGAACAAUUUAUUGAACAAAGGUAUUCUUGCUAUUAAAUUUAGCAGUGAAUAUUUAUUAAUAAAAACAUUUUCAUUGAAAUGUUAAAGAUGAAGAGAAAAUACCCAAACAAAAAGGAGCAUAAAGGACCUACCAGUCUACCACAUCACCGAUAUUAAUCUGGAGAUUGGAUAUAAAAUAAUCUCUAUCAAGCUCUUCAUGAAUUCCAUAUGCAAUUAACAGCUUGGGAGCUCCUUCAGACUAUAUAGUAUCAUGGGGCAAUUUGGCAGCAAGAUUCAAAACACCCCAUUUAGAACAAACAAAAUCAACUAACGGAAAAUUCACAAGAAAUUCAAGCGUAUUGCACACUAAGAACUCCUCCAGAAUAUUUGGAGCGGGCCGGUCUUUUAGUUUCAACAUCAGUGGUCUACUAUCCACAAGUAUACGCCCAUCGGAAUAUCCUUUUAUGAAUUUAUUCAUUUCAAUAUCAACCUGUAAGAUUUUAAAAUCACCAUUAACAAAUUAAUUUCAGCAACCACAAAAUGAUCUAAAAUUUUUUUUUGAAAGAGAUCAAAGAAGAGAUUAAGGGGACUUUUGCUUUUGUUUCAUAGGACCAUUUAGCUAUACAUCCUUCAUUAAAUGUAAUUGGUCGUCUAUCGUAAUUUUCCUUGUAUCCUAUAAAGAUAUAGAGUUUCAACAGAACAUUUUUCACUAAAUGUAACUGUCCUUUUACUUGCAUACCUUCCCUAUAUGCUACAAUGAUAAAAAGCUUCAUCGGAAACAUACGUAAGUUGCACUGCCAAAUAGUUUUCUAUGCAAAAAAAAGAACCAGAAGUUGAGAAUAAUUAAUAAGCAACAUUGCUGGCAGUGUUUGAAAAUGUAAAAAGAUUGCCAAGGAGGAACGCCUUAAGGUAUGACGAUAUUCUGGGUGGUGAGGGGCGUGGAGCAUUCCACAUUCACAUAUGUGAGCUUUUUUCAACCCCGUAAAAUGUAUCUAUUUUUUUGUAUAGCACUCUCAAGCUGAAGUUUUUGCAGACUAAUAUGGCAUCCUUGCACAGAUGCCCAUCCACGAUUGUCCAUAUAAAACAGUAAAUUUUAAUUUAAAAGAGCAAAAUGACCAUUAUAACCGUAAUAAUUUAUAUAAAUGCCCCCAAAAUCUAGGUAGGCACCGUGGCACCAAUAAUGGCAUCUUGACAAGGCCAUAUAGUCUAACUCAUGACCAGGGCUAUAGUUGGGAUUUAACUUCAGUCAAACAAAAAAAUUUUUAUGCCAUUGUGCAAAGGAACACAUGAGAAAACACGCUAUUUAAAAGGGCAUUUAGUGAAAUACACACUUGUGAGGGGUAUACAAAAUGCACUUUUUUAGGGAUAAAUAUAUGCAAAACCUUCAGCUUCCACACUGAUACCCAAAAUGUUUACUCCAACAAAUAUGUAUUAAGUUGGGUCAUUUGCGCAGCUUGAUCAACAACAUAAAUGAGAAAACAGCCUGUCAGCUAGACAGCAUCAACUUGGUAAGAAAGAUGGAAUGAUGGAUACAAAGUAAUGAAAUACCAAAAUAUUAGCAUGCCACUUCUUAACAAUUAAGAUACAUGCGAACAAGCACAGAAGGAAAACUAGACAAGACCAUCCAAUGAUGGAACCAGAUAAGAAAUAUUUAUUAAGCUCUACGUAUUAUUAUAUGCAAGACUAUUAGAAGAGCUCUAGCGCAUUAUGUGGUACAAGUAACCUACAAAAAAAAAAAGAAAAAAAAAAGAACUUCUAGUCAAGACAAUGAAUUAUCAACUUAAGGAAUUCAAGAAAAAAAUUAAUAAAAUGUAUGGUCCAAUCCUUGUUCUCACCUCUGAUUGGUUCAAGCAAUCCACAACCUUGACAAUCAAAUCAUGGUUGAUCUUUUCAUCUGUUGUCUCCUGGAUUCCCCUCCAAAUACUUAAUGGAUCCCAGCUUGAUGCCAACGAACGCUCAAAUGCAUGUCUAAUAAUAACCGGCUCGCCUUUGAUCCAAUGUGCUUGUGAAAAUGACUAAUGACUUCAUGCUUUACAUCAUAUAACAUUGGGCGGUACAAGGAGUUGUCGCUGCUUCCUUCUCUGUUAGAGCACCGGAAAAGACUAAAUCACUCGAGUCUUUUGACUCCAAAUUCCUAACACCUUUGCAAGAAGAACACCUAUCAGAAUAGUCCAAAUCACGUACUUUACAUCCCUUAACCAUUUCCUCAGUAUUUUUAACAAGUUUACCAAUCCAGUUGACUUUAAGUAUGCGUCUUAAAACCAAUUAUGAGGAGCCACAACCACCAGCAUCCGCUCCCCAAGGAAUGCUACCAUCAUUCUUGGCCUUCCAUGCAGGAAAUAGAUGAGCAAAAUCAAUUGUAUUUUCAUCUGCUAUCCAAGAUAGCGACUUAUUGUUGGUUCUUUUAGCAUGUUGUUCUACCCUAGUUAUUACAGUAUCAAUAUCUUUACUUCUCUCCGGAACCUGAAGUUCAAUGAACCCCCCUUCCAGACUGAUCAAGGAUCCUCGUCGAAUAUCCCAGCAACAGGUCAAGCAUAAAUCAUAUAAACAUUUUGUACAGUUCGAUGAUAAUCAAAAACAGGGAUUUUGCAGAAAUCACAGCAGGAAAGAAUAUUUCAAUGAACACAGAACCCCUCAAAUAAUGAAAGAAAAGUAACUACUAGCAAAAUGUAUUCAUGCUUUUACCACUAAUAUUGCUAGGAAAUAAAAGUAGAGAUUAUUGCUGAACAAUACCAGCACAUCUGCUCAUCUGCAUUUACUUUUGCCCUGGGAAUAUCAACUUUCGGUCCUAAAAUAAAGCAUACAAUCAAUAAUGGAAGCAAAUUAAACAUAAAAGGUUACAAUAACAGUGAAAAAUUGCCAAAAAGCAAUUGGGACCCUAAAAUACCAUUAAUUCUUGUUUCCAUUCCUAUUUCAGAGCACUGCUCAACAUAGGUUUGGGCUGUGAUUCUGUGAAGAUAUCUUAACUUGUCUAUGUCAGGAAUCUCCUGUACCUUGGGCUGAAUAGAAAAUUACAGUUCGAUAAUUAAUUAAAAAGAUGUUUAAAAAUAAGAUUGUGAGGAAGCCAAAUGAGAAACAGUGGCAUAUCUAAUCUACAAAUGAAGAGUGUGAAGCACCUUAAUCAAAUUAUCUCCUCUUAAGCAGAUUCUGCAGUUGCAAAUACCACGGCAUGCCGGACAAACCUUCCGUAUUUCCUCUAGUGGAAUCUCAGCAGACCUAUUAUGUAAGUCCCAACAGGAGACAUAAUAGAAAACGAAUAUUGGAGGUCAAUGUAACUUAUCACUAACAUGGAAGUCAUAACUAGCGAAGAAGAACACAACAAUGUAUAGCAUCAACCAUAUGAUUAAUUGAAAGAUCUAUAUUACUUGAAAAACAAAAACAACAGAAAAAUUUGUUAUCCGUCAGGCAUGGCAACAGGUCCACAAAGAUAACUCCAGCAUAGAAAUUACAAAUGGUAAUAGCCUAUCUGCAGGUUGAAAUACUGUGUCAAUAGCGCACUUUUGUGUGUGACGAUUAGGAUAACUAAGAAGAAUUUUGAUGCAAAUCCUUUCCAAUCAAAAUCUCAGGAAUACAGGUAUCAACUGAUACAUCCCAACUCAAGAUACUCAAGUAGGGAUGUCACAUCAUACUUCUUGGGAAGAUUAGCAACUAUUCUCGUCUUCUAUACUAUUCCAAGGGUGCACACCAGAGUUAACUCCUUUUAUAAGCUUGUUCUUACUCCUUUCAGAAAGGAGAAUUAACUCCUAGCAUAUAGGGUUAAUAAGGAAGAGAUUUGAGGGAACUAGAAGCAAAAAGGCUCUUAUCAUCAUUUCCAUUAUUAUGGAAGUCAUUAAUUUCACUCACGAAUCACUCUUUUUGGUGCCAAAAGCUUAAAAAAUUCAAAGGGACGGUUCAGAGCUGAAGAUCGACAUUGUUUGAUAUGAUCAAGAGUAUGUAAAGUUAAAAUCAUAAACCUCAGUGCAAUGUUAAGUACCAUCUUGAAAUGCAAACGCCACAGUAUCCCCUACGCUCGCAGCUAAUACAUACACAAUACCACCCUGUCACUCCUCCGGCACUGAUGGUAAAUUAACCCCUUGACUGCGCCAUAAGAAUCAGCACUUCUCCCAAAAUACUCCUAUCACAUAAUCAUCAAUAGUGUAACUUCUUGAGUAGAAAUUUAACAUUUCUAGUUAAACAGGAAGUGCUAUGAUAAAACGCAACAAAACUCACCCUGUGUUUCCAGAUUUCUGUAGAUGGCAAGUGUGUUACGACAUCACUCUAUAUGAAAAGUAUAAGGGUUGCAAAAUACAAAAGAAGGGACGAUGUCAUUCUAUAUUAAAUCCUUGCAGUACUAGAUAACGAAAUAAAAGGCUCUAGGAUCAUUCUCAUUAAUGAAAGAAUGUAAGGUAGGCUUAUACUACAAUUUACAGUGAAACUUUUAGGUAGGCGAAUAAAAAGGAGUUGAAAAAAAAUGUACUGAGAUGACUACUAUACGUACUUUGGUUCAUUUGCCUGAUAAUUGUUUUAGGUAUUUCUCAUGGAUAUCAUGAAAGUGUAUCAAACUAGCAAGUUUUUCAUUAUAUUCAGUUAGGAUUAAAUGGAAAUAACGACAAUAUGUAGAGAGAAUAGAAAAAGGCGAAAGAUUACUCUUAGUCGACAGAGAAGCAAAGAUGAACUGGAAAUUUCUGAAAACAUGAAUUGUGAUAUUCAUGAAGUAUCACCAAACUUUGGUGAAACAGGCAGAAGAAACAACAAUUUUAAAUUUCCUAGGUGCAAGUAGAAACAAAUAACACAGUUGAUUAACUGAAUAGGGGGGAAACACACACAACAUUCCCCCCACGGUCCCACCCAACAACACACACAAAAAAAAGAAAAAAAAAAAAAAAAGAAAAAGAAGGAAGAGCAUAGACAUGUUAGUUUGCAAACUAAUGUCACAAACAAAGGCAACAAGAAAACCAAAUGACCUCUUAAUGACAUUAGUUCUGACGCCUACAGCUUCGCUGACAGAGAGAGAAAGCAAAAAGGACUGUCAUAUCUGAUUUCAAAAUGAAUGACACACAAGCGUAUAUACUCUAAAAUUAUUGCGUAUUACAAGCCACCUCGCAAAUAUUUAAGAAUGGUUACCCAUCAACUUUUGUCAAAAACGGAAUUACACUCUUUCAGAUAGAUCCCUGAACCUCUUUACAUUGCUACGCCAUGCGAUCAUUAGAAAAAGAUUAGAGGGGGAAGCUUGCAUCAUCCAAAUUCAGCUAUACCAGUCAAGGAACAGGAUGGAGAAAGUAAGGACGACAAAGAAAAGCAAAAGAAAAGUUCUGCUGCUGCUAUUGCGCUUGAUUGCCUGCGAUAGCUCCUUGUUUCCUAGAACGACAUUGUUCGUAGCUUCAACAGCCUGAGAAAAUGCGUCAAAAGGAUCAGAAAUGAAAACAAACAAGGAGUGCACAUACAGGACUUACUAUUUUAGUUACAAGAAUAAACAAACAUCAGACAGCAACAAGUUAGCAUAGUUCAAUUCUAAUUUGAGUUUACUACCUUCUUCACCCAGUGUUCUUUAACCAAUGCUUCAGUUGGGAUGGUUUUAACUAAAAAGUAUUGGAUCUUUCUUUUGCCCACCGCCCCUUGGCUUGAGAUCGAGUUGGCCUACUUUGUCUUUUUCAAGAUAUUUGUGGAUCAGGUUCCCUUCAGCUGGCUUUAUUCUUAAUAGAGGAUCCGGAUCCAUUACUGUUGUAGAAAGAAUUUCUAAUAUGCAUUCAUGUAUAUUACAUGUUUACUAAGGCGAGCUACAAUUUUCCCAAUCCUUUUCUGCCAUAGAGUAGACUUAAAUGUGGAAAUUAGCAACAGAAAGAAAAACACAACAAAGAAAUAAAUUUAAAAAAUUCUUCCUCAGGUAGUUCAUGAGAUUCUCCUCUGAGAUUCCCAAGAGGAUAAACCAACAAUAUGGGCUUUCUCUUCAUGAAUUCUAUAUUGUGCAUGACCCCCAGACAUUUUUGAGACAUCAAGCAAGUGACAGCGACCCAUGAAAAACUUGAUUCUGCAUCAAUAUCUCAGAUAUUACUUUGGCUUAAAAACUCGCUUAAGUGCAGGAACCUAAACCCUAUUCAGUAUUUCCCGAACAAUAUGCGUAACAUCGCUGUGAAGAAAAAGAUUAUCCACCAGAAUAGGUGCUUGCAGGUUAAUUCAAUAAAUUUUCAAGAUCAAAUAAUUAAUCUAAUUCCCAUGGUAAUAGACAGAAAAUCAUCUUCAGUCAAGGAAGACCCCAUCUUUUAAUGGUGAAUCAACCAUGCAAAUCCAACUUUUUCCAGCAAGUAAUUUCCAAUCUCAACAGGGCAAGCCAUCUGACGAAUGUAAAGUAAUAGUUUCCUAACCUGCUCAUACAAAUGCUCAAUCUGUUGAGCUUGUUGAAGGACAUGUGUUGACAUGAGAUGAUUCAGAGCUGACAUUUCCACCAUCUUAGUUUCUGUUUCUUGUACAGCAUCGAGGAGGUUCGUCAACUCUACCUGUCAAAGUCCACAAUGAAACAAUUUAUCUUGUGCAAAAGAUUACAUGUUGAAAAAAAGGACCAAGAUGCUGCAAAAAUAGAAUCCUUCAACCGUAUAGAGACUAGAGACCUGAAGAGCUCGUGUUUCAUCAUCGAGAAGUUGCUCCUGGACUCUUAUGGUUCCUGAAGAUAACUCUUGCUCUCCAAGCUUAGGAAGAUCAGAUUUAGAGGCUUCAGAUUUUGGCUGAGGCAAUCUAUGUACCUUUCUUCUUGGCAUUACUCUAUUCAUAGCAUCUUGAAACCGUACAGAUCUGAGUUGAUCAAAUUGUGCAGUGACUGAAUGGAGCUUCUCGCUCAGAAUUAAAACCUACAAAAGGGCAAUGAAUUAGAUUUAUAUGGCAUCACACAUAGGGUACCACAAAAUUCUUCAGAUCAUCAAGAAAACAGUACGGCGGGUACCAAGUUUAACCAUCUUUCAUUUUUUCAAACUGUGUAAGUAGAAAAGUCGUAUGUGGCAUCUACACAUCAAAUAAGGAAUUGAAAUUUUCGCAUAUUGCCUAACACUCCAAGCAUCAACGAAGAAGAACUGGUAAAAAUGCUAAUUAGAAAUACGCCAGCAAUGCAUCUAUUACAGACAUAUAUGAUCAACAGCAAUAAAGAUUCCAUUAAGAGAUUUCGAUUGAUUCAUAGCAUAGCAAGAAACGAGAAACAUCAUAUAUCCACUGCAAUUGCUAAAUAGAGAGGUGGGAAAGCAAAUCUAGAAAAAGGUGCAAGGAAAAAUAUUCUUACCACACCAUGCUUAUGAGCCACCAUAUCAGCAUGAGAAGCAUCAUCCCGAAAUUGAAGCCACGUCCUUCCGCUUCCCUCCGUUUCUUCGUCAUGGAUUCUAUUCUUGAGAAUAUCGAUCUGAUCCUUGCACACUUUCACGAAAACAGCAACCUGGAAACAUUAUACAUAAUUAGAAACAGAGGUGACUCACGGUCAACAAGAAGAUCUCUCCAUUAGGCCUUUCCUUAGAAAUUAUCUGUCCUCAUCAUAAUAGAACACACAAAUAAAUACGUGCAAAGUGAAGCUAUCAAUAUGACAAUAUAUAGGCAUGCUCAUUUUGAUCACGGUAGAAAAUGUUCGUUAAAAAAAAAUAAAGAAAAAAAGAAGAAGAAAGAACUAAUGGCUGCUGAUGAAAAAUAAUCGGCACGAGCAACAAACUAGUGAGUACAACUUGUAGCCAGCCAAAUGCUUCUUUCCUAUCUUACAUGAAACCUUUGUAAUAUAAUAGCAGACUUGAAAGAUAUAUUUCGCCUUCGAAUGAUAUCUAGCCAACAGCUAGUUAACGCAGUAAUAACAAGUAAAGUGCUUUUCCUUCAGAUGCUCAAAUAGGGCAUUUGAGAAGAGAUCCAAACUGAAGGCCACAAACUUCGUAGAAAAUCUUUGAGGAAAACGACUUCAUAUAUUCUAACACAGGGCAAGCACACGUAUGAAUUUCACUAAAACAUCAACAAUUCGAAAUCGUCAAACUGGUUAACUAACAAUUAUUCCCGUAAAUCAAGACAAACACAGGAUUCCUGAAGUAUUGACUGUUCGUCAGCUCUUCAAACAGAAAAAAAAUAUAUGGAAUUAACAAAGCAACAUUGCUCAUCGUACAUUCGCAAAAAUUAGAUGAUAUUACUUCUCAAAGGAAAGUGAGGGAUAAGUAGACUUAUUCCUUGAACUAACAGUAGUUUCUCAUAAAGUAAAUCUGUAACUUCCCGUAACUAAAAGAGAACAAGAUGCACGCACGAUCUACUAAUUCGUUAGACAAAAAAAAAUAAGGGAGAUAUUCUUCUGAAAAGUAAAAACUACAUUUUCACACUAGAAGGAAGGGUACUAAUAGAUCUCGCGCUACUGGAGUGUACAACUCACUUCAUGCUCAAUAUUGUCCCUUUCUUGCUCAGUGGUUCGAUGCAAAUCCACAUAAUCUUUCCGAUGCUUCACAAUAAAACGCUCCAAUUCCUUAAUGCUUUCGAGCUGAGAAAGAGAAAGAAACAAUUAUCAUCCUCAAAAGACCACAAUUAGUUCCCCAAACCUACUAAGGAAUUUGUAAUGAAACCGAAAGAGCCAAAAAGUGUUGGAUGAUACCGUCUUCAGGGCAGCUUUCAUGAACGCCGACUGCCGAGGUGCCUUGUGCAUGAUGAAAGACGCCAUUAACGCAGCCAAUUGAGACUGCAAAAUUGUUUCAUAUAUUUUGACGAUCAGUAUAGCUCUAAUAAAUCGAGUAAAAUCAAUUCAAAAUUGUUUUCUAUCGAGAUUCAUCAGGAAACUGUGGAGGAGGACCAACUUAAAAUUAGUAACUAUUGACAACAAAAAAAAAGGAAAAAAAUUAGAGCGUGAAAUUGAGAAGUUUGAAGCUCUGAAAAUAAUGACCGACCUCAGUGUAGCCAUGGGAGAGAGCUGCAACACGAACAGCAUCCCUAAAAUCUUCAGUUCGGUCCCUAACUUUCGACAUUGCUAGAAAUUUUUAGGGCUAAUUAGCCCUCUUUUUUUUUUUCCUUUUUUUUGUGUUUUUCCCCUCCCUUCUCAAUACCACAACGAUGAUCUCUCGUGUACAAUGAGCGGGCAAUGUAGAUUUCGGCGUUGUUUGGGAACGAAGGCGACCAAGGCGCUGCUCUUACCGCGGCGAUGGCGAUGCCGGCGACGGCCCGGGAAGGGAUGGGAGCAGCGGAGGAUCCUAGGCCUCGACAGUGGAACGGUAGAGAAGUGGCGUGGUGCGUUUAGGUCCGGCCCAGUAAUGAUAAAUGUAUCAGUAGCACGGGAUUAGAUCCCGACCAGACCCAAGCUUCGUUUGGUUCGAGUAUAAGUAAGAACUGCUUAUUCCAGGAAUAGAUAUAAGUUUAGGUAUAAGCAUAAUUAGUUAAUUCGGAUUCGACAAAUAUUUGGUACGGGUAUAAUAUGAAUAAAAUUCAUAUCCUAAUUUUAAAAUUCGUUGAAAAAUACGGCUAAAAAAUAGAUUCGCCAAUUAUUCAGAUACGUGACUUAUAAAGAUAUUAUAUGUUCACCAAUUAAAAAUUCGGGAUCAAAAAUUCAGCUAUUAAAUUAAGUUUUUUCUCACUAGAUUUAUGCUAUUGGCAUAAAUACUCAUAAUUCUUAACAAUAUAAAAAUAAAGAGCUACAAAAUUAAGCAGAUUAAGUAAAAUAAUAAUAGUAAACUAUGUUAUUCCCCACAAUAUGUAAAUAAUCAAGCAAGUAAGAGAUUAAGAUAGUCCAUAUUUAAAUAUAAAACAAUACAAGGUUCACAUACAAGCAUAGUUGGAAAUUAAAUAAAAGAUAAAGCUUGCACUCUGCGUAGUGCAUACUAACAUAUCUAAAAUCUAAACAGUAAACAAAUGAAAGAUAAUUAACCCCACUCCACUGGUUCUGAGUCUUCAGACAACAGGGAACAAAUUAAUGGAUGGAAGUAUGAAACAACAACUCAAUUAGGACUAAUAUGGAAAUCUGAAGUUUAGAGGAAGAGAAGGAUGUUUUUGGGUGAAAGAAAAACACAACAGCAACAAUAUCAACUAUAUAUAUAAGCGAAAACUGUUAUAAAUAGAAAUCAAAAUUAACCAGGGAGCAAAAAAACAAUAUUGCUAGGAUUCUAAAAAUUUGGCAUUUAGCAUGCAGAUAAUAGCAAAUAUUAACUCCACACAUAGUCAUGGAAAAUAUGAAUUUGUAGUUUGGUACCAGAUGAAGUGGGCGUGCGGCAGCGGAACAGCGGAACUCGGAAGCAGACUGGGAGUGGUGCCCGGCCACGCGGGGGUUUCCGAUGGCCAGCGGCGCGCGGCCGGGGUGGUUCCAAACUUCCGAUGGUCAGAACUUGAAGGAUUGAUUCUUUCUUUCCUGUAAGGCUUUCAGCGCUCGGCCUCGCGGGGGUUCCGGUGGCGAGCGGCGCGCGGCCGGGGUGGUUCCAAACUUCCGAUGGUCAGAACUUGAAGGAUUGAUUCUUUCUUUCCUGUAAGGCUUUCAGCGCUCGGCCUCGCGGGGGUUCCGGUGGCGAGCGGCGCGCGGCCGGGGUGGUUCCGAACUUCCGAUGCUCGGCCUCGCGGGGCGUUCCGAUGGCGAGCGGUGCGCGGCCCGGGGCGAGGAGGGUUCUAAAGAACCCGAUCUUCGAUGUCGAGCGGUGUGGACUUCCGAUGGCGAUCGGCGAGCGGCCGGAAGGAAAUGGGGGAGGAGGGAUGGGGCGGAGGCAGGGGCGAGAAGCUAGGGUAAAAUGUUUUUUUUGAGCGAACGGUUUUUUUCUGUUCUUUUUCUUUUCUUUUUCUUUUUCCGUUUUGAGCGACCGUGCGUGCGUGCGUGCGUGCGGAGGAACACUCCGGGUGUCGACGAGCCGAACACCAGCGGCUCGCUAAAGUAUCGACCCCAAAAAUUGAACACCAACUGACCAACCAAUAAUAAAUUAAAUAAAUUAAAUUAAAUAUAUAUAAAAAAUAAAUUUAUAAGAUUUAUUCAUUAAAUUUUGAUCUAAUAGUUGAAACUUUAUAUAUAAAUAAAUUUUUUUAUAAUUAAAUUCGCUUUAUACUUUUUUCCUAAAAUAAAAUAAUAAAAAUAUAUAAAUUAUAUAUAAUUAUUUAUUUAUAUAUAUAAAUAUAAAAUAUAUAUAUUCGAGCUGUUAUCGAGCUGAAUACGAGUGAGCUGACCCCAGCUCGUGUUCGGCUCAUUUAUUAAACGAGUUGAAAAAUUCAGCUCAUGUUCGGCUCGUUUACUAAACAAACGAUUCAAUCUCGAGCUCAUUUCAAGCUGAAUUGGCUCGCGAACAUCAAACUGAAUUGCCACCCCUACUCCAAAAUAAGCCCUUCUUGAGCGAACUAACGAAAAUACCGCGAGCUACGGUGGAUCGAUUUUAUAGAAAUAAAUAAAAUUAAAAAAAAAACAAUAGCUGUUAUAAUAAAAAAUAAAAAUAUUAAAAGAAUAAAAAAUAUAAGAAUAAUAAAUUAUAUUUAUAAUAGCAAUAAAAGUUGUGAAUUAAAAUGUCAUAUGCCUCAUACUUCGAGCUAAAAAUUAUAACUAAUUAAAGUACGAGGUUGAAAGCAUCACAUACCUUAUAAUUUGAGCAAGAAAAUAUAACCUAUUAAAUUCGAGAACCAAAAUGUCAUGCAUCUUAUAAUUUUAGGAUCAAAAGUGUAAUUUGUUCCUUUUAUAUUUAAUUUUAUUUCAAAUGAAGACAGGGUGUCACGCUCCGGAUUGAUCGUUUUUCCGGGCACGCCGACAAAUCCGUCGUAUACAAAGAAAUUUUUUCUGUAUACGAAGCGAUAGCUGUGCCUAUACCUGUUAUCAUACAAAACUACAAUAAGUAGUAUAAAGCUGCUAAACAGAAAACAUAUAUAAAUAACAUAGGUUCAACAUACAUACUUAGUAUGCUUGUAGUAUACUAGUAUCCCUACACUUAGUAUAUAUAUAUAAGUGUGUGUGUGAGGGUACGUGUGUGUGUGUGUGUGAGUGCACAUGUGUGAGUAUGUGUAAUGCCAUGUGGCAUCACCUCCCCCCCUCUUUUAUGCAUGCAGGGAAGAGAGAGAGNCCUUCUGUAGACUUAGUGGGUGACCGAUGUCGUUUUGGGCGGUACCCACUGAGGACUACUUGUUUUUACAGUAGUUCUCACGCCCAGUUGUUACCUAUGUUUUGCAGAGCCACAGGUUUCGGCUACUGCGCCUUCCGCGGAUCAGGAUCGAGGCAAGGGCGUCGCGAGGUAGAGCCCUACCCGACUGACAGAGCUAGAGGCACCCCCCUACUGCAGGUAGUUGCUAUUUUAGAGUUUAUGUACAUAGUUGUUUAACUCGCCGGUGCGAGUAGCUUUGUAUUUUGGAUUUGGACUAUGUAUAUGAAACUCAGUUGUUUAGCUUUGUAUAUUGAGCAGCUCUAUGCUACUGUUUGUAGUAUUGUAUAUUUACAGGUACUUUUGACGCUUCGUAUACAGGGAAAAUUCCUUGUAUACGGCGGAUUUGUCGGCGUGCCCGGGGAACGAGACAUCCGGGGCGUGACAAUGCUGAUACAAAAACACUCGCUCCAACGAAGUAUUAACAUUAGUAUGUAUAAGAACCCAAAAACUAUCACUACCUGUAGCUUGUAUGUCUCUAGAUCAGCAGCAACACUGUAAGGGAUCUAACUCGCGACUCCCUUUCCACGAUCUGUAUCCGCAACAGCAGCAGCCGAAGAAGAAGACUAUGCAAAAAGGAGUCACCAACAGGGUGUGAGAACUACUGCAAAAUGAAGUAGUCCUCAGUGGAUACCGCUAUCAACCUCAACGGCUCACCCACUAAGUCUACAGAAAUAUGCUCAAUGAGACAAUGAUAGUAAAAGAACUGAAAACAAUCUAUAGCUAUAUGCCACUAUACUAUCAUGAUGCAAUACUAACUAUCUGUCGAAAAAUGCAAUCUCUGAUCCAAUCUCACUAGGGACUGUGAACACACCCGUCCCGCCUGUCAAAGCAAACCCGCAUACUACCCCAAGAGUAGCCGGUGGAGAAAACUCUCUAGGGACUGUGAAUACAUCCGUCCUGCCUAACUACGCUACACCGUAUCUUAAGAGUAGUCGGUCCAAAUAAAAAGGUCUGACAGGACGACAGUGACUCCACUCACGUCACAACCUCACUGAAGAUAGAGAAGGCGUUACUAACUACCACUGAUCCAACCUCACACGGGCUGCCCAAACGGACCCACCCUGCCCGUAUCCAGCUACGCUGCACACCACCGACUGGGGUGGCCAGCACAAGAACUGUCCCAACAAGAAACUGUGACCUCAUCGCACUGAAACUUCAUUCCGGAAUGGCAUUCGUGGGCGCGACCCAACCGAGUUUACAAGUGUCUCUGUAAAGUUCAUUUAGGCGCUCACAGGUUGUAAUCAAAAUAGAACGGUCUAACUGGUCUACAACCAUAAUCUACGUGCCCUCGGCACAAUCCGAUGCAAAAACUGCAAACUGGGUCCACCGUCAACCACAACAGCACCCGACAGUCCGGAACAGUCUAUACACUACUAUAAAAAUAAACUUGACAUCUUAGCAUGAGCGUAAAUUUAUUCUACACUAUCCUGGGUAUCCACCACCCACAAACUACGGCGAUACAAACAAAUUACGGCUCCUAUAGAUAAAUCUAGUAGUUUCAGAAAAUGACGGUGUAAAAUCGAUAGUUUUCUCCUCAGUCAAUUCCAAAUCCAACAUGUAUAAUUUAGCGAAUAUUCUAAGAUCCAAUUCAAAUUUAAUAACAAAGUAAAUCAACGAAUCGAGCUACUAAACAUGCUAUACAAAGUGGAAAAUACAUGCCAUUACAAAUAGGCUUAGGAGGCAAAAUCCGAAAAUUCUGGCAAGCAUAUCAUUAACCCACCUCUAGCACGAGCUCGACAACAGCAAGUAACCACUGGAAUCACCCUCCUAAGAUUAGCAACAACCCAGCAAGACCUUUCUAAGGAUCAAAGCACAAAAAUUGAAAGGUUUCCAUCAAAACUCUAAAUUUCAACACUUAAGUUUAAUUUCACCAAAAUCUCAAUGUCAAACUCACCUUCCAAAGCUCAAUUCAGGUGAAGAAAGGUCCCAAAACCAGGGGAGCAUGAUGGAACAAUAUCCUCAGGUCGAAAUUCCAGCUUCCUCCAAGAAUUGAUCCAAGAAAAUCACAAAAAUCCCAAUUUCAGCUCAAUCAUGACAACAGCUCAGAAAAACGUUAAAUUGACCAUACAAACCUCAAUCAAAUGCUGUCAAAAUAGGCUCCAUGAAACCUCCAAGAAGUCUACUAACCACCAAACUAAGUUUCCCAGCAAUCAGAGCUUCCUACGUCGCACACGAGCCAAAAUACCGAAGAUCGCUGCUGGAAAUCUGCUGAAACUGCAAUCCUCUAAGUGAAAUUGUGGAAUUUGGAGGGUUUAGAGGGACUAAAAUGCAAAAUAGAGGCUUCACUGUGAAAGAGGGUGAAAAACCAGCUCAAGGGUCGUCACCAUGCUUUUAUAAGGAGGUGGAAGGGUCUGAUAAGCCCCAGGAACAAAGAACACUAACCUGCUGUCCCUGCAGAAAUCUGCACUUUCGGGCGCCCGAAACCCACUUCUGGGCGUCCGAAACUCCUAGCCCAUACAAAACUCUAUCUUGGUUCCUCUGCCUAUGAUAAGUUGCGCCCGUAACCUGGUCCGGUGGUUCUCACCUACCACCCUACACGUGUCAACACCCACAUCAAACACAUGGUGAACAUUCGGGCUCACUUCUGGGCGCCUGAAACACAGGAUCUGAAUUGACUUCCAGUUUCAGUUUAGUUCUACACUCAAGAUUUGGGCUACCCAAAUCAGGUUCUGGGCGCCCGAAACUAGCAAAACUCCAAUUUUGCUUAUUUAAGUACGCCAAGUCCAUUUCUGCAUCCAUUUCGUGCAAAAACGACUCCGACUCAGUCCGACACUCUCCAGAUAUGUCGACCAGUCACUAAUACUGUAGCCAAUCCGAUACCAAACCCCCGGAACACUACACAGAGUUGAGCAAUGAUCGAUUUUGUUCAAUCAGUAAUUUUAUUCAUAAAAAGAAUAUGUUAAGCUAUCUAAUAAAUUUUAAUAUUAGAUUUAAAUCAAUCAAUGAUGCUUUUACUUCAAAAUUUGAAUGCUUCUUUUAACUUUACAAAUUUAGUUACUAUGCUUUAUUACGUAUUCUUCGUAACUAAAUUUAUUAAAAUAAAUAAUUAGCUUAAACUUCAUCAAUUUUUCUUUUAUUUUUCAAUAUACAAUCUAUAUGUAAUUGAUUAAUAUUAUAAAACUAAAAUUUAUAUUUAAUAAUAUAAUCUAAACUAUUUAAAAGUAUGUAUAAAUAUUUAUAUAUUUUAAUUUUUAUAAUAAAAGAGGAAAAAAUUUAAUUGGAUUAAAAAAAAAAAAUCUAACUUUAGGGCGUAUUUGUCCAUUUUUCACCAUGGAAUCGGAAUCUGAAUAGAUGAAUCCGUUUGUUCGUAUUUGUUAUGCGGAAUUUUUAUUCCGAUUUCCAUUUCCAAGUGAAUGGGAAUCCCUCAAUUACUCUUUUUUCCGAUCCGGCCUAGGAGGCCGAAUUGAAAAUUGAAUCCGAACGGAAUGGAUUUGUUUGGAUUAAAUUUAUCUUUUUUAAAUUUAUUUUUUAAACAUAAGUUUUAGUUUAAAAAUUAUAUUUAUAAAUUUUAAUUUUAAUUUGAACUUAAAUUAAAAAUUAAAAUUCAAGCAUUUUGAAUCUAAUUUAUAAAUUUAAAAUUAAAGUCUAAAGUUUUAUUCAAAUUUUAUUUAAAAAUUAAAUUAAAUCUAUCAAUUCAAAUUGAAAUUAAAAUUAUAAUUUUAUGUUUGAAUUUGAAUAAAUCAAAAUUUAGUUUUAUAUUUUGAAUUAUCCAUUCAAUUUUAAAUUUUAGUUUUUUAAAAAUAUAUAUUUAAAAUUUUGAUAUUAUUUUAAAAUUUUGACGUAAAUUUUUAAUAUUUAAUUUUAGUUUGAAUUUAAACUAAUAUAUUAUAAAGAUAAAAUUGGUAUAUUAAUUUAAUUACGUUUCUAAUACCUAUCUGAAUCAAACACCGACAAUGAAAGUGGUUCUUUCCGAUUCCAAUUCAAAUGGCGAACCAAAUAGAAUGAGAUUGAAUCAUUCCAAUUUCACUUCCAGCUUAUUCGCAUUCCAAUUUUGAUACCGAUUACGACUUUGAACCAAAUACACCCUUAUAGUCUAAAUGAAAGAAAAAAAUUAAAAUGAAAAUUUUUUAAAAAUGACCUACUUCUAGUUGGCCCCACACAUCCCCAACCCCACAGUUCGUUCCCCCUCCUGCUCCCGCUCUGCCCGCUACAUAGCUUCCAACUCUGUAGUGUUCUAGAGCUUUGGAUAGGAUUGACUUCAGUAUUAGUGACUGGUCAGCACAUCUGGAGAGUGUCGGACUGAGUCGGAGUUAAUUCUACACGAAAUGGAUGCAGAAAUAGACUCGACGCACUCAAAUAAGCAAAACUGGAGUUUUGCCAGAUUCGUGCGCCCAGAACAGGGUUUGGGCCGCCCAGAAGUUGAGUGCAGAACUGAGCAGAACUGGAAGCCAAUUCGGAUCCGUGUUUCGGGCGCCCGGAUGUGGGUCCGAAAAUCCACUUUGGAAGUAUCGUUUGCGCUGACACGUGGCUGGUGGUUGGUGAGGUUCGCUGGAGCAGGUUAUGGGCGCAGCACACCGCUGGCGAAGGACCCGAAGGUGAGCAAGUGUGUAGUCUGGAGGUUUCGGACACCCAGAGAAGGGUUUUGGGCGCCCGAAAGUGCCCGUUUCUGCAGAAUUGCAGGUUUGCAGCUGUUGUUCCUGAGGCUUAUUAGACCGUUCUAACACCCUAUAAAUAGGUAGUGUUCGACCACAAUGAGCUCUUUUCAUCUGUUCUUCACAGAAAAGUUCACUUUAACAUCUUAACCCUCCAAUUCACUCAAAUUGCAUCAAAGGUCCACAACUUCAGCUUGAGAAGUGCUGAUUUUGCAGUUUUCCAGCGACGACCUUCGGUGUUUUGCCUCGUGUGUGACGUAGGAAGGUCGGAUUGUGGUGAAACUUGGUUUGCUGGAUUAUAGACUUUCAGAGGAAUCCACAAAGCCUAGAAUUGCAGAUUUUGGUUGAGGUGAGCUUGGUCGAUUCCAUAUUUUUCUGGACUGCUGGUGACUUUGAGCUGAAAAUCUUUUUUUUUUCUGUUUUCUUGAUGCUAUCUUUGGAAGCAGGGGAAGUUUGGACCUAAGUUAGAUAACUUAGUAUACUUCACUGGAUUUGAGACCCUCCUCACCAGAUUUGGAUGUGAUUAGGUGAGUUUGGACAUUGGAGUUGGGUUAAUUUAAGCUUAAGUGCUAAAUUAUUGGAUUUUUGUCGAUUUCGACGCUAGAUCCUUCAAGUAUUCCAGUUGUUGAUUUGGUGUGAUUUCGGCUGAGUCUCAUAGCAGUUCCGAGACCUCCUUGCUGCCAGGAAAGAGCAUUUGAGGUGGGUUUUCAUCGGGUUAUUCCUAAGUGCAUAUAUAGUUGACGUGUAUGAUUUCCAUUAUUGUCUACUAUUCAGUUUGAUUGAAUUCAUUGAUUAGCUUUGGGCUGUAAUCUGAAUUGUAAAGCAUGCUGAAUGAGUUAAUAAAUUAUACUUGUUGGACUUGAAAUUUUGACUUAGGAGAAAACCAGCGUUUUGAUCCGUCAUAUGAUUCUACUACCUGAUUUAGCUCUAGGAGCCGUGUUUUGAUUAUAUCGCCGUUGUUUCAGCGCGGUGGGUACUCGGAGUAGUUUAGAAUGCAUUUACGCUCGUGCUGAGAUGCCGAGCUUGAUUUUACAGCAGAGUCUAAGCUGUUCCGGGCUGUCGGGUGCCGUCGGGGUUGACGGUGGACCCAUGUUUCUGUUAUUAGUCUCAGAUUGUGCCGAGGGCAUUGGGUUUGGUUUCUAAACCUGUUUUGACCCUAUCUACUUGACUUUGGCUUGUUAGAGCCUGAUUGAGCUCGACAGAGAUACGCUACAUACUCGGUUGGGUAGCUCCCACGAGUGCCACUCCGGAGAUGGGCGCUAUACUUUUGCGUUGGUGUCGUUCGUGUAGGUUGGACUUGCUCUCCACGGACUGGUUAGUGUGGAGGUAGCUGUAUAGUCACAACCGGGCGGGACAGGUGUGUUCACAGUCCCAGGGACGGGUAUGAUUACAGUCCUUAUUUGAGAUUGGGUUUGAGUUGAUAUUGUUCUACAGAGGGUUAAAGUUAGAGCAUGAUAGUAUAGCGAUAUUUAGCUGUAGAUUUGUUCCAACUUUCUUUACUAGUCCUGCUUAUCCCUGUAGACUUAGUGGGUGGACCGAUGAGUUCGAGGGCGGUACCCACUGAGGACUACUUUUUGUAGUAGUUCUCACGCCCAGUUGUUACCCUAUUUUUGCAGAGCCUUCUGUUCCGGCUGCUGCUUCUACCGAGACUGAUCGUUGCAAGGGCGUUGUGAGUUAGAACCCUUCAAGACGAGUAGCAGAGCUAGAGGAGCACCAGCUACAAGUAGUUGUAGUUUUUGGGUCUUUACAUACAGUUGUUGUAUCUUGCCAGAGCGAGUUUUUGUAUACCCUGGAUGACAUGUAAGUAUUGAACCACAGUUUAUAUAUGUGGUUUACUUUUCUAGCUGCUCUAUACUACUGUUUGUAGUAUUGUAUGAUUAUAGGUACUUCUACUAUUUCGCUUCGUAUACCAGAAAAAUUUCUAUGUAUACGGCGGGGUCUGUUAGCGAGCCCGGGAAACGAGUAAUCCGGGGCGUGACAAACUCCCAAUUCAUGAUAUUUAAUUAAUAGGUAAUUGAGCGGUCGUGAAUUAUUCACGAAUAAUAAACUUAAACUCCAAAAAAAUCACAUUUUAUUUCAAAUUUUUAGAAAAAAAAUAUAUACGGAUUAUUUUAUUCAUUUAUUUAAUAAUUCGUGAAUUAACUAACAAAGAGUAUAAGCAAGAGUUAGACCAAUUUUGUGUUUGGAUGAAAAUUGGAUUGUUACUGGAAAUAAGGCUUCGUUUAGGAUUACGAGAAAAUUGCGUUACGUGUGAUGAGAAAGUACGAUGAAAAAAUACACUUUCUUCUAGAGAAAGAAUGUGGAGAGUGAGGGAAAUAGGGGAAAUGGCUGUGGUUUAGGGUUUCACUGUGAAAAUCCUAUUAUAGGUGUGCUUCAAUGGCAACUAAACCACUAAACAAAUCUUACUUGCUAGCUCCUCAAAACUUGCUAUUCAUAGCAUUGAGUACCAGUAUGCGGCUUAAGUCUACUGGUACUUCAGCGGAGUUUCGCAACCAUUGGAUUAUGUAGUUUUCUAUCUUGUAUCAGUACUCACAAAUAUCAGUACUGAUACUUGAAAUUUUUUCAAACUUCAGUACCAAUACCUCUCUUAGUUCUGCAAUAUGCAAGAGUUUUCCUUGUCUCCUUACAAUAUUGUUCUGGUACUCCUUUCUAGUACCGGUACUCAAUACAAAUCCCUAAUUUUUACAGUUUUGAUUUUUCGAAGUCCAUUUUUCGCACCAUUUUCACGUUGAAAAAACACAAAUGUUUCCCAAAUACUAUUGAGGUGAUCCAAAUAAUUUUUAGUUACUAGUUCUUAUUGGAACUCCGAAUGUGCAAAAAUUCAGUAUAUUACACAAAUAUUCGAUUAUCAUACGAAAGGUCAAAACCCUAAUUUCCCUAGCAUGUAACUAAUUCACAUUUAUUUUAAUUAUUAUUCAUGGUACAUACUAAUAAACUAAGAAAUUGUUGGAUGAAAGGGAGAUCAACCCUUUUCGGUCAUAUUCCCCACUUUUGUUUGAUUCCCUCAAAGAGAUGCCUAUUGAUUUCUUGAAAACGCCAAGUAAUCCCUAAAAAUGGUUCAAGCAAAGUUAGAACCCCAGAAAUUCCUAUUUUGGAAAACCUUUAAAAUGAAUCCUAAACAACUAAUCUCUCCGCUCCUAGUACGAGAGAAAACGGUAAAGAGGGUUGCCUUUGAUCUUCUAGAGCUUCCUCUCGAAAUUCUAGAUCUCCUCCAAGCUUGCAAAGAGAUCAAUCCCAAGCUCCAACAAUAGGGGAUGUACUUCAUCGGUUUUUUAGGGCAUAUUUAGUUGCUCGAAAUUGGGUGAAGUGAAAAAAGUCACUUUUACAAAAGUGACCUUUCAGUCCGAUUGUUUGUGUCACGCCCGGGCCCCAGCUAAAGCUCUCUCAACGCGUACACAAACCCGUCGUGUACACCAAGCACCCUUGGUGCACACAAAGCGUCUACAACAAUAAGAAAAGAAGUAGGAAUAGAUUCCUAACAUGGCUACCUAACAUGGCUAUCAGAGCAAGUACAUAAAUCUACUAUAUACAGGAGUCUAGAAUAACAACACUAUCAUAAGAUAUACAAUAAGUAUAAACAAAUGGUACAUCUCGAGUACAUGUAGUUCUCUAAACAAAAUACAUUAUACAUCUUUCAGCUAAACCAAAGAAAGAUGUCAACGGGUUCAACUAUAAUAACACUGAGGAGGCUCUAGCUAGUCGAAAACCCCUUGCCACAAUCCCUAACCACUCCCACUGUGGAAGGCUCUGAAACAAAAACAAACAACCAAUGGGGGUGAGAACUAUUAAACAAUAGUUCCCAGUGGGUAACCCGCAGAGAGUGACGAAAUACACCACUAGGUCAACUGAGGCAUGAAGAUAUGUAAUAAGCAUUAAGCAUACAGUUAACAAUAAAUUGAACAUUCAAUUCUACUCAUGCCUUUACAUGAUAAUGUCAUUUAACAUGUAUGUGAUUUUCUACUGUCACAUGCAUAAUAAGUACUUAUAUAUGCAAGUCUAUAUGCAAUUUACAUGCAUAGGUAAUUUCACUUUCAUUUUCAUCAUGUAGCUAUACUUCUACAUUAAUCAACAUGUGUGUAUAGAUUUUCUACCACUAAGAUUGUCAAUGCAACAAUGAUUAACAUAAAUGCCCAACUACGAUGAAUAUAUUAAGUAGCUUCACAAGGUAAACAAUCCACUAGUAUAGCUAGUCGCUUUAUAUGCAUCAACUAAUUGUGAUGUAUUAUGUCAAGUUUUCUUAACUUUACCCAAUUAACGAGAGACUUACACAUAGCAAUGUCCCGGCUUGUGCCGUGCCUAAUGCCCCCAUGGUAGUCAACAUUCCCUCACUAGAAAUGAGCCUUUCUCACGGCAAUCCACUUCGGCACCCAAUCCUGCACGGGCGAUCUGUCGUCACAAAGGCUAACUCCAGAGUGCCGGCUUGUAGGGAGCGAUUAUCACAAGCUUGUGAGAAUGAGUACAAUGGCAAGCAAGCGUGAUCAUAAGCAUCAGGUCCAAAGACCACAUAUUCCAAUCAUCAUAUCUAAAACAUGGAAUCACAAUCAUCAACUCAAAGGUCAGGUACUAUUUCAUAUAUGUCAUAUUUCAUUCACAAUUAACUUGGUGGUAUGUCUCUACCGAUAUACAACACGCCUUAAGCAUGUAUUGGUUUACAUCUCACUUAUCCUAUCAAGGACGGUUCUCUAUUUCAUUCAUGAUCUAAAAAGGGGUUUCAAAAGUAUACUAUUUCCAUUUUAUUAUAAGGUGAACAAUUUACUAAUAUCACAUUCAAUGAGCUACGAGGAUAUCAACUAGAUCAUGAUUCGGGUCAUGCACAUGCCUUGCUAUGUAGGCCUCCACUACAUGGAGUAUGAUGGUUAUCAUGUAAGUAAUUUUCAUUCAACUAAGCAAUUAUAUGCAAUUGCCCUUUAUAUGCCCAAAAGCAUAGAAAUCUCUUUCGUCAUAUCUAAAACAUGAAAUGCAACUAACAACUUAAAGGUCGAGUACAAUAUCAUAAUGCCCACUUAGUUGUUCAACUAAUUAAGUGCAACAUGCUUAACUUCACAAUUUGUCUCUACCAGGUAAUAGGUCAUAUUUGCCCUUGUCUAAAAUAGAUACAUUAGUUGCCAUGCAAGUUGAACUCAUUAAUUCUACUAACUAUAUAAGGUCCCAUAGAACAUUCAUUUACUCAUCUCUAUUAUACAUUCUAAUGUUGCAUAGGAGGAAAUACAAUUACAUGCUAUUUAGUGUACAAAUCCACAUUUUAAGCCAUCUACUACAUAGAGUAUGAAAACUUCUAUAUGUAACAUGAGUGUAUCAAGUAUUCGAAAAUUCUACCAUAUCAUAACUAGUAUGAAUAUGAAUCAACUUUUGUCUUAUAGCAAUAUAGAAGAUAUAGAGGGCGUUCAUCCAUUUCGGUGAAACCUCGUUCGUUUCUCCGACGAAGUUGUCUCCAUGACUUCUAGCACCCUAAGAAAAAUUUCAAGGGGAUUAUAAGCUUCUAAUAAGCUCACAAUGAAAUUCACCAAAAAUCCAAAAAAAAAUAGGUGAAAAUUAUCUUUGAUCAAGUAGAACUUAUCUGAAAUCCAAAUCAAAGCUAGGAAGCUCCAAAUCCAACCUAAAAUAGUGUCUACGCUCAUCAAUUAGAUUCCAAAAGCUUUGCUUCAUGAAAUUCCAAAAUAAAUCCUAGUUUUCUCAAAACUAGAUUUUCUUCCACAAAUCUUGCAAAAUUUACAAUUAAAUGUUGCAAAAAAAGUACUAACCUUAAUAGAAGCUCGAAAUCAAGCUAGAUAAUGCUAGGGUUGGAGUUAACUUCUCAAACAAGCACUUUUCUUCACUCCCAAGCCUCUUUCAAGGCCCAAGUAGCAGCUUUCAUAAAGAGGAAGAAGAAAAAGAGAUCAAAACCUAAACUCAAAAGAGUUUGGAGAGAAAAAUCUAAGAGAAAUAGAGGGAGUACUCACUUUCACUCUCUCUAUCCUCAGCACAAGAUGAACAAAUGAGGGCUUGAGGGGUUACUUAAUAUGAUGUAACAAUUUUGUAACACACUGGACCUUUGCAAAUUGCGAGGUUCGAGUGUUUGAAUGUAUUUCGAGCUUUUCCACACUUGGUGGAGGGUUGGGGAAUAUUUUUCGACCUAAAAAGUUCGAAAACUUGGAUUCUGGACAAGUCCUGAGAGUUUUUACUCUCGGAGACCGGUCCCUGAAAGGAGAGACCGGUCCCCCAGUGAGCAGUGUUGCGGCAGCCUUGAGGCAACCGGUCCCUGGCAGGCGAGACCGGUCCCCGAGCGCGCUUACGCAGUGAGAGACCGGUCCUGCACAGGGAGAGACCGGUUCCCGAACGUUGGUUUUUCAGGUUCGCAGCGAGAGACCGGUCCCUGCUGGGGAGAGACCGGUCCCUCUGGGCGAAAACUGCCCAGUUCGGGCUGAUGUAAAUUUGAGUUUUUAGAGGGCCUCACUGGAUUUUGUUACACUAGAUGGGCUUAUUAGCCAUUCCACCCUCUUUCCUUCCUUAUUUCCUCAUUCUCAUCCUCUCCCUACACUUUCUAGAGAGAGAAUAAGAAGAAGGAGGAAGAGAAGAGAAGGAGGAGCUUGCUUGAGGAGGCUUGGAGCUUCACCCCUUUCCCCCUUUCCAAGGCUUGGAGCUUGCUUGUAGAGUUUGGUGGUGGACCAAUCUUCAACCCUAGAAGAUUUGGAGCUUGUUUGGAGGCAUCUUGGGAGGUUGUACUUGGAUUCUACCCUUUGAUCCUUGAUUUGGUAGGUUUUACCAUAUGGAACCCUAGAUUGGAUAUUAGAGUUGAUUUUUGGGGCUUUUUGAUCUAGGGCUUUUGAGGCUAGAUUGAUUGGAUUAGAACCUUCCUUUGGCUUGGAUUGGAAGGGAUUUAGCUCUCUUUUGGAGCUUGAGAGAGAUUUCCUACACAUUAGGUGAGUUUUAGCCCUUUUGCUAAGUUUGUUAAAGUUUGAUCUCAUAGUUGAUCGUAAUGCCCGUGUAUCUCUUCGCUCGAUUCUUUUAGGGUAUUUUGAGACUCGUGGACAAUUUCGUUCGGCGAAUCGAGGGAGCACGCGACGGUUCGGUGGGUUUGACCUAACCACACAAUGAGAAAAUCUCAUUGUUGACGAUUUAAGUGUUAUAAAAUAAAAAAGCAUGCAUAUUCUUGUUAUAUGUAUUUAUUGUAAAUUUUAGAAUGCUUAAAAUGCUUAUGUUGCAUAUAGUAAAAUUUUGGGCCUCUAUGUAGUAGAGAGCAUGCAUGUGUGAUAUAACAUUCUGGUUGAGAUAUGAAAUUAAGAUCCCUACUAUGAAAAUGAACCUUGCUUUCAUGCAUUUAGCUUAAUUGCCAAUUGUGACAUUAGGAAUUUUUGGAAGCCUAGAGAGGCUUGAGGACUUAGGCUAUUUGAGAGAUUGGGCCGAUGUCAUAAAGAGGCAUUGGGCCCGGGCUAAAGUAAACCUUGCUAGUAUUGUUUUAAUUGGAAUAUGGAACAAGAAUUGGGCUUGAUCAGUGUGAUGCUUAAGUGUCAUAAAGAGGCACUAAGCAAGUGAGUGUUGGGACAUCACUUAGAGACAUUGGGCUAGAUUCUUAGGAUGCUAGUGACCUUGCCAUGUUAGAGACAUGUGGAUAGAGUAUUUGAGACAGUGACCUUGCUUGUUUGCCAUUUGUGCUCAUUCGCACAUGCUUGUGUGGGUCGCUCCCCACAAGCCGGCACUCCGGAGUUAGCCUACGCGACUUAUGUUCGCUCGUGCGGUAUCGAGAAGCCUACGGGGUCGAGUGGGACAGACACAUUCCAAGAGUAGGGAUGUUGGGCUACCACAGGCACUUAGGCGGCACAAGCUGGACUACCUUGGGUAGGUCCCUAAUUGGAAAUGGAAACCGACACAGUAUUGAGUGUGUGACAGUCACUACUAGAUAGAGAGUAGUAGUUGGAUUACUUGGGUUUGCUUCUAGCAUAGUGUUGGACACAUGAGUAUGCAUAUAUACAGGUUGUAUGCUAGGAGAUGUCGUUUAUUGCCUCCUUACAUGCAUUGUAGUCAUGAUAAAGUAUCACUUUCAUAACUUCAUAAAAUAUCUCAUGAUAUCCCAUAUGGCCAUGUAGAGGCAUAGUAUUCAUGACAAGGUAAAGGUGCAUUAUAUAAAUGCCACAAUGAAUUGCAAUGCAUUAGUGUAGUUUUUAAUUAUGCUUUCAUAAAUGCAAUUUACUCAUUGUCAUUAUUUCAACUGCUUUUUGACUUACCCUUUCUUUUGGGGCCUAGUGGUGCAUUGAGCUGAGGUCAGUAAUUGUCUACUGGGAACUAUAAAUUAUAGUUCUCACGCCCUCUGUUUUGUGUUUUCUUUCAGAGCCUUCCACGCCGGGAGAGGCUAGGGACCGAGGGAAGGGCGUGGCAUCGAGCUAGCUCUUCAGCGAGUGACGAGUCGCUAGGUGGUCUACCUCUCGAUGUUUUUAUUUUGGAGAGGUUGAGAGCUGCACCAGUGUACUAGAGACCACCUUUUUGUGUACCUUUGAGACAGAUAUUGCACUACUUUAUGGCUACUUUUAUUGUCUAGCUUUAUUUCUUUACUUUGGUGUAGAUGAUAGAACUUUGCUCGCUCUGAUAUCAUUAGUUGCUAGUUAUUUUACUUCUUUUUUUAUUUGUUCUAUCUCCUGCUUUACUUCUGCUUUCUAUUGUAGACGCCUUGUAAAGUGACUUUCAUAUUCACUUUCGCAAACCAAACAGCCGAUUAUGUGUCACUUUUUAAAAGUGCCACUUUCGAUGCUUCACUUUCGGCGAACCAAACAUUCCCUUAGAGAGAGAGAGGAGAUGAAGGUGAGAGAGAGGAAAAUGGGCAAUGAGUUAGGGUAACAGCGAAAAACCCUUUUAUAGGGUGUUCUACAAUAGCAACUAAACCCCCUGAAUAUUUGUAUUUACAUAUGAAUAAAUAGCUCUCCGCACGCUAGGCUUCGAGCACCUGCUUGAACUUUUGGGCGCCCACCUGAAUUUUCGAGUGCCUACUUGAACUUUGGGCGCCCACCUAAACUUCUAGGCGCUCGAAUCUGUUGUAGCUGCGCUCGGUUGAGAAACUGGAUACCCAAAGGAUCCACCCGUUUCACAAUCUGAGUGCUCGAAGUGGGAGUUAGGGGCUUGAUUGUCUAAUUCUCUGCAUGAGGGGUGCUCUCAGGUUGAGCGUUCGAAUGAUGUAUCGGGCGCUUGCGAGAGAUUGUCUGAAAGGUAUUUUGAGCACCCGCAUAGGAUUUCGGGAGUUCGAAUUCUUAGUCUAGCAAAAUUCUCUCUUAGGUUGGGAGUCCAAAAGCUGUCCAGGCACCCGCUAGUAGGGUCUGAAACAAUAUAUGGGCACCAGCAGUGCAAUUGGAGCGCUUGAAAGCUGGACUCUUUGGCAGCUAGCUCUUUAGAAGAGCGUUAGGAGGAUUUAAGCACAACAAUGUACCAUUUGGAAGCCAAGGGCACCCGAAGUCCUGUUUCGAGCGUCAGAAUUGAUUUAGAACUCAGUUUUCUGAGUUUCAGGACUCUAUUUCGAUUCGAGUCAUUUUCAAUUCAAUCCAAACUUGAUUUAAACAUCUUAGAACUCAUUUUAAUCAUGUUUAGUAUGACUCAAUUCGUAUUUUAUCAAUUUUAGCCAAAUUUUGAUAUAUUACACGUACACUCUCAGUUAAGCCCAAGCCCAGCCGGCAGCUCGGCUAAAUCCAAUAAGCCGAGGAGUCCACAUUCUAGCCGAGAGGCCCAUUUACCAUAUUAAUAGUUUUUAUAAUUUAAUCCCAUAUUUUUUUCAAUUUACAAUGUCGUAUAGUAUAAACUAGUGUAGUAACCCGUGCGUUGCGACGGGUAGAUACUAUUAAAAUAAAUUUAGCGUCUAACUAAUAUAUCAAAAAUUUAUUAUUAUUUUAAAAAUCAAAAUAGCCCAAGCAUAUUGGCUUCUUGUAAAAGUAUAUUAAUUUGCUAAAGUUGAUUAGUAACAAAAUGUUCAUAGAAAGAUAAUAAGUAUGUUAACCUAUUGAGACGAAAAAUGACAUACUAUUUGGGAGAGAUUUAGAUAAAAAAUCUAAUAAAAAUUAACAUUUUAUAAAUCAAAACAAUCAAAGAGUUAAACUUUUUUUGUUUAAGUUAUAUUUUUAUUCCAUCAUUUUCUAUAUAAGCUAAGAUACUUAUCCCUUCAAGAAAAUGAAGACCUUUUUAGAUCAUAUAUCAAUCUAAUUUUAUAAACAGUUUAUAUCAGUUAAUAAAAAGAGUCAUGAAAAUAGAAAAAAAAAAAGCAUAUGAAAAGUUAUAUAAUAAAUUUUUAAGAGACAAAAAGAUAUACAACCUAACACAACCAAAUACAGUAAAUAUAAUGCAGAACUUUACUUUCGAGAAAAAAAUAUAAAAAAUAAAUGAUAGAAAAAGAAAAAAUAAUAAAUCUUCAACAAAACAAACACAUCAGUUUGAAUACCAUACAAAUAAAAAAAACUUAAAAAAACUGAAUAAAACUAUCUAAGAACUUUUAACGAUACAACAUAAAGAAUACAUUAAUCUUUUAAACUAACUCCUGAAAUUUGAAGGAAAGCUCAAUUUGAUGAAGAUGGUAACGCUAAGCUCGACGAUGCAGCGUGCAAACUUAUACUCCAUCUACAUAACGUGCUUGAUCUUAGCCUCGGAGCUCAUGGAGGAGGAAAAGAAAAUAGAGAAGAAGAGAAUUGGGCUUUUCGUAGGUUUCUACGAUUUACUGUUUAGAUUAUGAUUAAAAUAGGUGAACCAUUAAUUAGAUGUUAUGUUUGUAGGAAAGGUGAAGGGUUGGAUUAAGGUGAGUGGACUAUUAAUUAAACGUUAUGUUUGUAGGAAAGGCGAAGGGUUAGAUUAAGGUGAGUGGGCUAUUAAUUAGAUGUUAUAGGUGGAGGGAAGAAUUAGAUAUUAUAGGUGGACGGAAGACGACGUUAUGUGUAUAGGAAAGGUGAAGGGUUAAGUUAAGCUUAGUGGACUAUUAAUUAGAUGUUAUAUGUGAAGGGAAGCCGAAAAGUUGGUUUCGCUAAAGGAAGGAAACUCCGCCACGUGGCUUUUUUUUUGGGAAAUAAUGUAUAGGUAUAGAGGUAUAGAUAUAUACGGCUACAUAUAAUUAGGGUCCAUUUAGUCUAAAUUUUAGAAAAGUAAUUUUUAUAAAAUUGAUUUUGCUUAAAAGCUAUGAAAUAUUUGGCUGAGUUUAGAUGAAAAGCGAAUUUUUUAAAAUAAUUUUAUAUUGCUAUAUAGCAAAAUUUUUGAUAUUUCAAAUAAUAAUUUUUUUAUUGAAUUUUAUUUUUAAAAUAGUUUAAAAUUUAAAUUUAAAUUAAAAAUUUGAAUUUAAAUUAAAUUAAAAAUUUGAAUUUAAAUUUUAAAUUUAAAUUUGCACAAAAAUUUAAAAUUUGUUAUUUUAAUUUUAAAAUAUAAGUUUGAAAUGCAAAAUUUAAAAAUUUGAAUUUUUAAAUCUAAUUUUAAAUUUUCAACAUCAAAUCUAAAAUCUAAAUUUGAAAUGUAAAAUUUAAAAUUUGAUUAUUUAAAUAUAAAACUUCAAAUUUAAAAUUUAAGAUAAAAAUUUAAAAUUAAAAUUUUGAAUAUUAAAAAUUUAAAAUUUGUAAUUUGAAAAUUAAAACUUAUAAUUUUACAUUUUAAAUUUUAAAUUCUAAAAUUUUUAAAUUUAAAUUUUUAUCUUAAAUUUGAAAUUUGAGAUUUGAGAUUUAAUAUUUAAAAUUUAAUAUGUAGAUUAAAAUUUCAAAAGUUGAAAUUUAAUAUUUAAAGUUUAAAGUCGAAGUUUAAAAAUUUAAAUAUAAGAUUUAAAAUUUAAAAUUAAAUUUAAUUAAAAUUUAAAAUUUGAAUCUAAAAUAAAAAAAAAUUAAAAUUUGAGUUUAAAAUUAGAAUUAGACUUCAAAAAGUAAUAAUUUGGCCGUCAAAAAAUUAAAAAACUAAUUUUAAAAUUCAUAUUUAAAAAAAUAGAUUAUCGCUUCUUCAACCCAAAAUUAUUUUUGAACUUAAAAAUUAAAAUUAUUUUUUCAAAACGCUAGCAGGCCAAACACUCUGAUCGGGGUAGAUGGACUGAAAUGGAUCAUCUCUUCUCCCCAGCUUCUCUCUUUUAAUCAUCUCAAUUCCUCCUCUCGUCACGUUGUUACAACUCCGUUGCCCUAUCUCCUCCUGCAUCCUCUCGCCUCCACUUCUCUUCUCUCUAACCCUCUCCUUGUACCUCCGCUGCUGCCGUUACAGAGUAGUGAUGGACGCCCUGAGGGUAUGGAGGGCUUCUUCCCACCUCAUCGGCUUCGCCUCCAUGGCCGCCGCCGCCGCCGUCCCCGCCACCUCCAGGAUCAGAUUCAGAUUCCUCCAAGUCCGGUGCUGCUCCGCCGCCGCCGCCCCUGCCACUCCAGCCCCUGCCGGCAACGCCGCGACCUCGGACCGCAGCCGCCGCCGGAGUUCCUCCUCCACUUCCGACCGCGAGUCCGUCCGCGCCAUUCGGCUCAAGAAGGCCAGUCUGCGCUUUCCUUUAUUAGAACUUUCCUCCUUCGUUGCAAGGAUUUAACUGCUGCAGUACAGAGUCGCCAAAAAUUUGUCGGCAUGAUAUGGCACAUGAUAUGGCACAAUGCGUGCUAGGCCUAAUCGAUAAGCGUGGAUCAUAAAAAAUACAUAUACGUCGACACAUAAUGAUAUAAAAUAUUUAUUUUUUUAGCGAUAAAAAUUUUUUAGUUGCUUAUUAUUAUGUAUUUCUAUCAAAUCUUUUGAAUUUUAUUACGAAAGUUACUUGCUAAUUUAAAGAAAAGAAGGUUUUGAGCUGUGUUAUCUGCACGGAGGCUUUAUCGUACCGAUAUCUUGUUGGCACAAUACGACACGGUGGAUACGAUCCGUGCCGAUAAGCACUUAAAUCCUUGCUUUGUUGUCUUCUUCAAUUUUAGUUAUGAUUUGUGGGUCAAAAUUACUUCACUUUUGCCAGUUCCUGUCAAACUUCUGUUGUUAACCUGUACAUGGUUUGUGUUAAUGACUGUGGUAAAGUUUACUUCUUACUCUUGCUUCUUUUACAUUCUCUGAUUUCAAAAGUUGAAAACAAGAUGGCACAGUAAGGACAUAUAUGCUGUAUUAGGUUUUGAUUCCUAGAAUCCAAGUAAAAUACAAAAUAAUAUGAAGUGAUUCAAAAUGUGCUUCUAAAAUAUUGUUUCCAAAAUAUUUAGACCUAUGAGUAAUUGAGAAAAUAAUUUGUUUUUCUUUGAUAGUUUUGACUACUAGAAAUAUAUUAUAAAAGGGCCAAAAAACAAGCCUUUAGUUAUUAGAUCCUGGGAUGUCUACAAGAAAUUGUCUUUUUUUUUUUGCUAGCUUUAUCUAUUGCAAAGUCUUAUAUUAAGUCUUAUCAUUGUUUUGUGCACUACCUCCUAAUAAACUUUGGAUCUUCUUUUCUCCUACCAAGAUUGAUAAAACAAUAUUUUACUUAACGAUGCGCGUUAUAUUUGAUACUAGCUUUAAUCCUGUGCAAUGCACAGAUAGUAAUUAAUCUCAACUAUAUAAAAAUAAAUUAAUCUUAGAAUUUAAAUUUUAUUUUAACAUAUAUCAUUAGUAGAUUAAUAGAUUAAUAACUAUAUUGUAAUUUACGGAUUCUUUAUCAAUUUGGCUCAUCUCUGACUUGCAUUAUCAUGACAUCCUAGCAUGUUUUCGUGCUAGUACAUCUUUCUGGAGUAUGUUUCAGAAUAACUGAAAAAAUGUACUAACGCUACCUGAAUGGCUGAAUUACAAGCCGUUUGCAAAUGGAUUUUUGAACAUUAAAUUAAGUACCUAACCUUCCUAAAGUAUUUAUAUCAAUACCUAUUCCCAACAGCUCGACAAAUUAUUGCAUGCACCUUGUGCAUCCGUGCAUCGCAUUGUCAUCUUCCCUCCAUCCCAUCCCAUACUUUCACUCAACCAUCCAAAUUUUAAAUGAAGUGAAGGCCGCAAUUCCACUGGGCGGUAGAGAUUGAAGUAUGAGGCAAAAAGGAGGUAGAUGGUAGAUCUGUGCAUAUAUGUACAGAUGUGGUGGGUGCAGUUAAUAUUUUCUUGAGUUUUGCAGAUAGCGUUGGGGUAAUCAAAGCAUAAUUUUAAAAAGGUUAGAUAUUGAAAUUUAAAGAAAGUUCAGGUAACCAAGUUGCCAACGGUUCAUAAUUUGGGCGGCUUUUGAUCAUCUUUUGCCUUAAAAUAAUUUACAAUGACUGCAAUUAUGGACAUGAUGAGCUAGCACUAUUUCAUCCCAAUAGAAACACAUACUUUACCUUUUCUGAGGUGGGAUUUUGUGGAAAAUUUUGCUGAUAUAGUUUUGCACCAAAUAAGUUUAUCAGACCGUCGGGUAAUUUAGAAAAGGUAGUGAGUUGGUUAAAAUAAAACAUGAUUUUGACGUUGCGAAAUGAGUUAAUAGGUUUGAUGACUCAUAUUGAGUUGUUUACAUUGACUUUGUUUUAUUAAAUUGGCUUAAGUGGGUUGUGUUGCGCCAACCCCACAUGACCCAUUUAUAAUAGGUUGCAGUUGCCAUGUGACAUGUUAUAUUAGUCAUGUCACCCCCGAGUUUAAUUUUUUGACCUAUUUUAGUACUUGAGUUACACUUUGGACCAAAUUAUACGUUAGAAUCUUAGUCAUAUGCACUUGAUAGAGUUUUUUGGGGACAAUAUAUUCAAGUGACUGUCUGAACUAGAAAUGAUAAAAGUAGUUUGGUAACAGUCCAAAAAUAAUAGCAAUUAUAAAAUAUCAUGCUAAACUGAAUAUCUAAUUUGUUGUUAUUCAUUGUAUUGUGUCUUUUGGAGCUAAGGUUGAUUAGUCCAGCUGAAACCUCUAAAGCACUUUGGAUAAGAUGCAAACAAUUACACGUGAAUGGCAAUGAAAGUUGUAGUGGUGAAAGUAGUCUAACUGUAGUACUCACAAAGGACUCAGUACAGAAGGUUUAAGAAAUCGUUUAGUUAUUUACCUAUCAAAUGCUUCCGAUCACAUUCUACCAGAAGUAGAUGCUCUCAAACUUUAUACAUCUAUACCAUACAUUCAACCAGAAGUAGAUGCUCUCAAACUUUAUACAUCUAUACCAUAACAUAUAUGAUAGUUCAAUAUUUCCUAGAAGGUUGACAUGCUUAAACCUGCUGUUCUUUUAGAAAGAAUAUCUGUGACAUUCUUGUUGAGGUUGUACUAAUCCCAACCUAUCUAUUUUAACCCUGAUGAACUUAAACUAUUUGUUGCCAUUUAUUUGAUUCUAGUUCUUCUUUUCAAAAUGAGACAAAGAAAAAGUAAAUCAAGUUGGGGACUCGAUGAGUUACCUUUAGUCUCUACUUCAGUUAUAUCCUUUCAAUCUUCAUGCUAUAGAACAUUGAGAAAGCUUUGUUUCUGCAGCAAAUGUUAGCCAAUGAAUAUUUGUAUUUACCCUGUCAGUUUCUUCAAUAUUAAGUUAUGCUUGUUUAGGUAGAAGAAUUAAGAAGUAAAGGUCAUGAGCCAUAUGCAUAUAAGUGGGACAGAAGUCAUACAACGAAGGAGCUUCAAGAUGCUUAUAAUCAUUUGGCAUCUGGUGAAGAGUGUAAGGAAGUUUCAGUGUCAAUAUCUGGAAGAGUCAUUGCUCGGAGGGCAUUUGGAAAACUUGCUUUCGUGACUUUAAGGGAUGAUUCAGGCACAAUUCAGGUUACUUUAAUUCUAUUAGACUUAUAUUCCAUCUGAACAUGUUAGGGCUAUUUUCCUAUUUUCAUCUUUCUGACUUAUCUUACAUAUUUUGAGUACAUGAAUACUUGAUCUUGCCUUUGUCUUGCUGGACUUGAAUACUCUGCAAAAUGUGUUAAUAAAACAUUUUUUGUUAAUGAACGAUAUUGGUUCUUUGUUUAGAUUUAUUUUUUUUUUUGUUCAAGUGUUUCUUCAAGAACUGGGCAUUUACAAGUCAUCCAUACACUCUAGUCAUGUAUUCUGCUAAAAGUAGUACAUAUUAUGUGAUUUGUGUGUUUCAUUUCCUACCCUAAUAUGUUGCAUUCUGGUGGCAGUUAUACUGCGAGAAGGAAAGCCUCACAGAUGAUCAUUUUGAACAAUUGAAGACAUUUGUGGAUAUCGGUGAUAUUUUGGGUGCAAGUGGUUCUAUAAAGAAGACAGAAAAAGGUGAUCUGUGAAGCAAACUCCUUUAUAUCUUAUUCAUUGCCUCAGAUUUUAAAAUUUUUUUUAUGCUUCUUUUUAUUUUCAAUUACAGAAGAUGCUAUCCUAGUAGGAGAUGUAUGGUUCGAUGGUUAUUCUUUUUCUGCCUAAUUUUUAUUAGCAAUUACGCGUAUGGGCAAUUGGGCACUUGUUGGGACUACUAACAAAAAUUUUAUCACUGAUACACAUGCUAUUGGAACCAAAUCAUUUGCCAUUUUUAAAGAUGCUUGAACGUUAAGUUGAUUCAUUGUAGAUUUGUUUGUUGCAGGGGAGCUAUCUGUUUAUGUGAAGUAUUUCGAAAUCCUUACAAAAUCUUUACUCCCUCUACCAGAUAAAUACCACGGCCUAACUGAUGUGGAUAAACGAUACCGGCAGAGGUUGGAUUUUACCUACUUACAUUUUUUAAUGCUAUGUAUAAUGUUUUCCUGCCUACCGUAUUAAGUGCUAUUCCAAUACUAUACUCGUUCUUUCAAUGUUUAGGAAUGUUAAAAAAUAUUCAUAGGAUUUCUUAUGAUGCUUUAAAAAUCUGGCUAGCUAUAUGUCAACAUAAAACCUCAGUAUAUCCUUGUUGUGGUCCAAGUGCCUCUUUGCCUAUCUCCUAGAAGUGCUUCACUUUGGUGAGCAGCGCCAACCUAACAUUUGGCUAACAGAAGGAAAGAAGCUUAUGUGAUCUCAUUUUUCUAGGAUGGUUCAAGAAAUGUCGAUAGAUUAAUAAACACACUUUUUUUUUUUUUUUUUUUUUUUUUUUUUUUUUCCUUUUUUCUUUUGGUGGGUGGUUGGGCGGUGUUAUAGAUGUUCAUAGAAAUUCAGAGCUAAAACAAACGAGGCAAUCUGUAGCCAUUCAUGGAAUCUUCAUGGAAGAAUGUGCUGGAGCAACUUAUGGUUGCAAUUAAACCAACUUGUAAGGCUUUAAGCAAAGAAUAUGCUAGCUGAUUUUCUUACAUUUUGGAAUAGGACGAGUUUGGAAACCAAUCUUAAACUCCUCGAAUGUUUGAAAAGAAGACAAUUUCUAGCUGUAUCAUUGCUACAGGGCUUACACUCUACCAACCGGUACUUUAAUCCUUACUUCAUAAAUGUUUGGUCACUUAACAUUAUCCUCUACCAGUAUCUAUUUUUACUAGGCUGCUUCUUUGCAUGCUCGGGAGGAAUGUGAUGUGAUGCUUUCGAGUUCCUUUCAUAUUGAUUCUUUUAUGCCUAUGCUAUAUCCUAUUGACUCAAUGUGGAGUUGACUGUUAUUAGUGUAGACAUCUAAAAAUUUGCUUUUCAUGUGUUGAGAUAGCCACAUAAUACUUCAUCCUUUCAAGAAAUUAUGUUUAUUACCUAGUUGAGCUUGUGAACCCUAUGUAAUAAUGAAUUUAUCUUUACACUCAGAUAUGUUGACAUGAUCGCAAAUCCUGAGGUUGCUGAUGUAUUCCGAAUACGAGCAAAGGUGGUGAACGUAUAGCAUACUGUAUUCAGAAUACUUUCUUAUUGAUAUCGGAAUAAGUUUUCCAGUGAUAUCCUAUUCGGUAUGACGAUUUUCUAUUAUGAACGGAAGCUAAGAGUAUGGACAGAUGGAAUAGCAUACUAUGCCUUCAAGUCAAUUUUUUCAUAAUAAGAUAAAUCACCUUGUAGAUGAAAUAUGCUAUCCUACCAAAUUAUGGAUGCCAAGGCGUGUAAAGUAGAAAAAAUCGAACUCCUACUUUCCAAUUCUUCAUGCUAAAUGAGGUAUCAACAAACAACUUAUUUCAACAUCCAAACAAGGUCAAUGUAUUGUGGAAGUUUGUGACUUAUAUAAGAUGCUUAACUUUACGGAACUUCUUAUUUCCUUGGGUUUAUCCUUGUGGUUGCUUUUGCACAUCUAUUCUUAUAUUAAGAUAAACCACCCUUGUAGUAGCUAUUGUGCAUCUUGAUUAUUUUACGUUUACCCUCGUUUGUGUUCUUACUUAUAAAUGUUUGGAAGAUCUCAUAGUUUAUUAAUGCAGAUUGUGUCUGAGAUCCGCAAGACAAUGGAAUCUUUGGGUUUCAUCGAAGUUGAGACUCCAGUUCUGCAGGUCUACCACAUGUACUUGUCUUUCUGGUCCAGGUUUUUUGUCCUUUUAAUGAUGAACCUGUUAUUUGCUGUACUUUGUGAUGACGUUGGACAAGCAUUUUCAUGGAAGUAUGAAACUAAUACAGAGAUAAAUUCAAAUGAAUUACUAUCAUUAUUCAAAUUUAGUUUUCAUCUAUGAUGUUGUCUCAAAACGUUUGCAUUUUCAUGUUUAAAUUUUAACUGAAAAGCUUAUAAUUGAGAGUUAGAGGUUGUUUUAUUGGGAAAAACGAAAGGAUGGAGAAACAUUGAGAAAAAGAGAGCGAUGUAAGUGAAUGGAAAAAUAUAUUAGCUUACAUUUAUGCUCAUUGACAUUUUUUUUUUUCUUACUAAUGAAGGGCUUUUUAAACUAAAAACUUGUUCAUCAUGAGGGAUCGGACUAAAAAUAAAACCCAAUCUAGCCAUGCCUAUCUGUGAGGGGCAGUGCUAACAUGAUAUGCUAGCUUAACAUUGUUGCAUUACUCUUUGAUUGCUUGUGCAAAGCUUUAUGUGAAACUAGGUAAGGAACCCGCGUGAUGCGGCGGGUAGAAAAUAAACACAAUAUGAUGGAUAGACAAUUUUACAUAGUUAAUAGAUUGAUAAAUCAAUUUGGAUACAAUAUAGUAGAAUAAAAACCUAGCAUAAAUAUUGAGAACAAUAGUUAAUAUAAGCCAGAUUGUUUUCACAAUAAUUAAGAAUUAAAUAUAAACUCAUAUCUAUUAAUUCUUAGAUAAUCAAUAAACCAAGGUAGCACAAAAGUAACGGUCAACAAAGUUUACAUAAGCCUACAUAGAUGUUAAAUCCAAAAUUGUAUAAGUAAUGUAGAUAAUAAUAAGAAUUUGAAAACAUCAGAAACCAACCUGACAAUUUUGGCGCAAUGACCACAAAACCGCCUGCAAGCCGCAGCUUCAGCAAAAUAAGAGAAUCGUGGCAACAUGCAUCAGCAGGAAAUGAGAAGGUAUUAAUAAAAUCACCAGACGAAUAAUCAACAUGGACUAAUUGCAUAUAUCCACAUAACCACUUUGCAUACCCGAUUUUUAAGCUCACCCUUUCUAAGCCUAGCGAGAGCAAUUCCUCAACAGGGGAAGGGUCUUUCAAUGAACAAAAAACCCACCUUUCUUAGCCCUCCGAGAGAGAACAAACAAUAGAGAAGGCUUUGUUCAACGAGAAAAGGGCCAGUAGAGCAGAAAUUAUCAGGAUAACUAGUUUAGAAAUAGAGGAAGAAAAUGGAAGAGGAAUAGUACAUGAAAGGCCACAAAACUCCAGAACAAUCCCUGUAUUUAUAAGCAACCAAGCAAAGCCCGCAGGGGGAAGGGGCAGGGGGCGUCGUAUGGCCAGGUAGGCUGCUAGGUGCAGAAGAAGGACGGGGGAUUGAGUAGCCCACCAUAUUGUUUCUCAGAUCAAAGCAACCAGAGGAAGAGGCGACAUGGGCAUGCGGUAUGGCGAGCUAGGGUUCCAAGCAAAGAAGAAGGAGGGAUCAAGUUCUUCACUGAAUUCUCGUACCACUCUAUCGAUCAAGUCAUCGAGAGCGAGAAGGGCACGGGUGGCCGUACGCGCACCAGGGCUUCGAAAUCAUUUCCCCCGAAAGAGGCAAGUCACUAGAAUCCUCAAACGCUGCCGGCCGUACGGGAGCUGCAAAGGGAAGGGAAGGUACCCCCAUCCGGCUGUGGAGCGAGGGUAGCCAUCGUACAAACCGCCAUCCCUCCCUGCCAUGCCGCCGAUGAUUGCAUGUGUUAGCAGGGCCAUGCCGAUAAAGACCCAACAAAUUAGUGAGUGAGAUUGAUCGAGUGAGAGGGAGUAGGAAGCAGCAAAUUAAUGAAGGGUGAGAGUGAGAAUGAGUGAAGGUUGGGUGAGAAGUAGGAAGCACCAAAGACGAAAAGACGCAUGCGGGGAGUAGGUAAACGACUCCCCUCCAAAUGCGGAGAAGCCUCCAAACUGCUAAGGAUUCACCAUUCUAAGAUGAAGACCCAAUAAAUUAAUGAGUGAGUGAGAGUGAUUGAGUGGGAGGGAGCAGGAAGCAGCAAAUUAAUACAGAGUGAGAAUGAGAGAAGGUUAGGUGAGGAGAAGUAGGAAGCACCAAAGAUGAAAAGAUGCAUGAGGGGAGUAGGUAAACGACUCCCCUCCAAAUGCGGAGAAGCCUCGAAACCUGCUCAGGAUUCACUAUUCUAAGAUAUAUAUGGAUGUUGGAUCUUGGUUAAAGUUCUCAUUCCACUAUUGAUUUGUUUGGUCUAUUAAGAUGAUUGACCAAUCAUUAAGUAGAACGAGGCAAAUAAUUGCUGGAAAAAUUUCCAGUUGCGAAUAAGAUAUUUAAUAUUGUUUAUGACUGUCGUCAUGUUUAGCAGAGAUUAUCUGGCUCACCGUGUAACAGAUAUUUAAAUUCACGUGGAAGACAAAAAAAAAGGAGAGAAAAAGAAAAGAUUGGGUCAAAAUUAAAUACAAAACAGUCUAGCGUUCUUUUAAUUAUGCACAUUACCAAGAUAGAGUUGAAGGGAGGAAAGUUAUUCAUUCAUAUAGCUUAUGUGAAUUUUAUUGAAUUAAGUGGUGGAGUAUAUCAAUGUAAGCAUGGAGUAAACUUUGAGUGAAUUAGAAACACAAUGUAUAACACUUUAGUUGAUAAAGAAAUUUUACUGGGCUGCAGUAAAUUAUUUUAUCCUUGGCAUUCUUAGCUAUAUUAGUAUGCGAUAACAACAGUCUGGUCACUGCAACUGGUGAUUUUAAGAGAAUAAAACUGCAAUCUUAUAGUAAGGGCAUCCUUACAUACAAUUUCAAUUUUAUCUUGUUUAUAAUGCACUGAAGAAUGGCGCUGUGACUAUAUUGUAUUAAGUGUUCUUUGAAACUUACAUAAUCUGAUAAUCAUGAUAAUCAUGCAACACUUCCUGGAUGCAAUUGGAGGACUUACCUGCAUAUAUUCUGUGUUUGAUCUAAAUUAGGACUUAAGCACUUAGGCAGCAGUUAUUGCUUGUGAUUACCGAGCUUUCUCUUUCUUUCUUUCUUUCCUAAAUUAAAUACUGCGCCUCUUAUAUUGAGAAACUUCUUCAGAGUUCAGAUUUGACAUUUUCUCUUUGACCAAUCUUUGCUGCUUUUUUUGGUAAAUUAUCAUAAUCAAAUAUUUAGUUCUACAUUCUGAUAUCUUAUGUACUUCAAAAUAAGAUCAACCGCUAUAGUGAUGUCAGAUUCGCCAUAGUUUCUUGUAGCUGAAUCUGUACAAGCUUGAAAUCUCUUGGAAACUUUUGAAGUGGUUUUUUCAUAUCAACAGAAUAUUGUUAUUUUCCCUGAACAAUUUAUGACAGUCAUUUACAAGACUUAAAUUGGUAAAACAGGGAGCAGCUGGUGGUGCAGAAGCGAGGCCUUUCGUCACUUACCAUAACUCACUUGGAAGAGAUCUUUAUUUGAGAAUCGCAACGGAGUUACACUUGAAGCGAAUGCUGGUGAGGUUGUAGUGCCUAUUUAAAUAAAUUUUCUCCAAUUCCUUCCACAUCGAGAAGCUAAUAAUUUUUAUGUGUUAGGCAAAUACUAAAUCAAUUACAUCCUUUAAUAAUGUUAAAUUAGUAAAUGUUCUUAGUACAGUUUGAAACACUUAUCAUUUAAAUAGUAAUUACUUUGUCAUUCAAUAUUUACUUGAAGUUUCAGAUCUAUCAUGAAGUUGGCUUUUUGUAGAACAAUUGUUAGCAAGACAGUUUUCCGGAAAAGGAAAUUCAUCUGCUCAUGUUUGCAUGAUGAUCGAAAUAAACUUUACACACAAGAAUGGAUGACUUAGUUCAUGCAUUCUAUACGUCAUACAUCAGUUGUAGGCUUGUGUCGAAGCAAGUUAUCCACAAUAACUAGUGUGAUGCCAUUUAAUUUUGCUAUUAUAACCUAGAAUUUUUGUUUUAUGCUAUCAUGAAAUUUGGAAUUCUGGAUCAUGCUUGAAUAUGCCUAACAAAGAUGUUAGGGCUUGAGUAAUGGGAGUUUGUCGCACCCCAGUACCACAUUGGAAGAUGAUGGGAGUCUACUAGAGCCUUUACUUUAAUAUUGGUAGCAUGGAUUUAUGUAUUUUGUCCUACAUGGUUGAAGCCCAAUAAGAUGUACUGAAUGGGGCAUUUUGUGUCACGCCCCCGAUUACAGCGGAAACCCACGGGUAUGCCAACAGACCCGCCAUAUGCACGAGGAUGCACCCCACAUACACGAAGCGUGGAACAAUCAACCUGUGCAAAACAUUUACAUAGUGUGUAUAUAAAAUCUAUCAGAGUCUACAUACAACUAUCUCAUAAUAGUUGCAAUCGUACAACCACAAUAUAAUACAUCAUCAUCUGCCCUAUCUGGCCCAAUAUGUAUAGCUAGUUAUAUGUCCCAUGUGUGGUUCUCCUCUAGUACUUGUCUUGGGUAGGAAAUGCCAUCUAGCCUGCGAUCCUCUUACCUCAAUCAACAGCCGUCACUGAGGGCUUUGAAAUAAAAAUAACAAUGGGAGGGCGUGAGGAUUACUAAAAACCAGUUUCCAUAGUCAGCGAUAGCGAUGACCUACACCAUUAGGUCUACUCGAGGCAUUAAUAGUAUAAACUGAACCGAAGAAGUAAUCACAUGGUUUAAUGAAAUGGAAGCAAGUAAGCCUCUAUCAAUAAGAACUGGGAACUAUAAAGCAUGCCUCAUAUGUAUCAACUAGAACAACUGAUACUAAAUGUCACAUCACCCAAUCAAACCAACCGACAUAUCAAUUUGGUUCAGCCUGUGCCUUGCCUAGUGGAAUAGCGAACUAUCGCACCUCCACUAAUAAGGCUUUCAACUAGGUAGCAAACCCUUGCACAGUUACCGUGGCUCGAUUACUUGCACAACUGCUUGGUUUACCUCGAGAGGACCGUCUCACUAGGAAGCGGCCGACGAGUAUACAAAUAUAUAGUUGAGCUCAUUUGGCUCUAACAGGCUAUAGUUAUAUUCUAUGAUCAAUAGAUCACAUGAACUUUCACUUUCACUUUCACUUUUACAUUCUACUUUACACCUGCCUCAUGGCACUUUCACAUUUUCACAUUUGCUAACCUCGUAUCAGUACCACAUGUACCACAACAUAGUAUAUAUCUCAAGGCAAUAGCUAAUGACUAGUUCCGUCUUUGGUUUCAAAUAUCAUAAUAUAACGUUUACUAUGUCAGUAUAGUGCCACCAAAUGCUAACUACUCUAGCCUGCUCAUUGUAGCAAGACAAAACAAUAAAUAACACACUAGCAGGCUUAACAGAUCAUUAGGAACACAAUCUCAACUGGAAUAUAUAGCAAGGUUUAAAGUGCUGUGGCACGGGGGCGUGCCGUUAUGUCGCUGGCACAGUACAGCACGGGCACGCUUGCGUGCCGACAGAUACGCACGACCUCCUACUUGCACGCUUUGGCACGGAUUUAUUUCAGUUUUUUUGAUUCCAAUAAACUCUUAUAAUGUUAUUUUGAAAGAUUUAAAUAAAUAAUUAUGAAUAUUUGCUAUAUAUACCUUACUAUACUCAUCAAUUAACAUGCAUGUAAGCUUUUUGUAAGUAAAAUACAACUAUACCUGAUGUAGAAUAAAAAUUAAAAUACAAUAAUAAAAUUCACAAGUAUAAUAAUUAUUUAAAUUUACAUAUUUACAUAUAGAUGACUGCUUAAUUCCACAUAGAUUGUCGCGCUUGAUCAUAUGACAUAUUGUCAUCUGCAGAUACAAGAUUUAUUUGACAAUGUUGAUAUAAGUAUUGCCGGUAUUGUGAGAAAGUCAUAUAUUUCCGAUAUAUGUCAUUGUAUUGUCGGAGAUAACCUGCAUAUGCAACUGGAUUGUGGAUAUAAUGGACAACAGUCAUCUGUGACAUAUAGAGUGAAGCAUCAUAAGGAUUUGGAUUGUAAGGAAUAGAAGAACUAUAAUGUGGAUAUGCAUGAGUGGACGUAGAUUCGCCGUAUGAGCUUUCACUAUGUAAUGGGAUGGAUUGGGAUUCACUCUGAGUGCCAUAAAUUGAUGAAUCAUAAUCAAAUAUCUCUCCAUAUAGGCCGUGUCGAUAUGAGGGAUGCGAUGAUAUUGAAGUACUAUCAAACUGUGUGUGCAAAGUAUCAUCCUUUUGUGGAUGUCUAGUUGAUAUUGUCGUCAAACCUUCUCUCAUCUCUCCAUAAUCAUGUUGUGAGGACCUCCUAUCUUUUCGACUGUCAUAUACCACUCCGGAUGUUUGACGUAGUCGAGAUCCAUGAUCAGCAUCUUGAGGGGCAUGUGUGAAGUUUUGCUCUUCAGUAAAUAUAAGGCCACGGCCACCCCUACUCUCUUGUUGUGUUGGUGGAAUGAAGUCGCCACCAUCCUUACUGCUAUUAGUGGUAUCAUCAUCAUCACUACAUUCAUCUUUAGACUGUGGUAAUCCAGAAUCUGCUGGUGUCGAUGUAUCACUAUCAUCAUCUUGUGGGAGUGCAUCAGCUGCAUCUAAUGGAUCCAUCGAUGUCAUACUUUUUUUACUCUUACCACUUCGGACUGUCAUUGAAGGCGUCUUUGCGGAAUAAGAUGUUUUCUCCUUUCUAGAUUGACUCUGAGUAUGACGUGAACGACCAUAUCCAGGUCUUUGCAUAAGACGCUCGAAUUCUGCAGCAGAGUCAUGUGCAGGAUUUUGGGAUUCUUCGUCCAAAGCCGUUUGUUCUUGCACAUUACCUUGAGACUUUCCUAUGUUUUCGUCAGCCCAUCUUUCAACAUCACUAAUUCCUGCUUCAUCAGCAAUUAUUCUGAAUGGUCGUGGUGGAUCUACAGGCUCAUCGAGUAAUGGGUCCUCUUGAUUUUCUCUAUCUUGUAGCCAAUCAAGUACGGGGUCUGAUUCAUCAUUGAUAAAACUUGCAUCCAAGGAAUCAUAAGUUUUUAAUUCAUUUUCCUUAUCAUACUCUUGCAUGCAUCUUAAACGGAGCCUUAUAUUAUAGUGGACAUAAACUAGCUUCUCUAAUCGAGCGUACGCUAAUCGGUUACGCAUUUUGGUAUGUAUCAGUGCGAACGUGCUCCAGUUGCGUUAACAUCCACUAGACGUUGUCGUUUGAGAUAAGACAAGCACAACAAUCUUUUUUAAAUGCUUUGCUGAUCCACCAUAUUGUAACCACCAUUCAGCUGUACAAUUAAAAGUUAAAAAUAUAUCAAAUAAGAUUUAUCGUUAGCUGUAAACUGUCCAAAUUAUGGAGUUACUUACUGGGAUCGGUAUUGUGUCUUCCGUUAAUUGCACGCGCUUCACUACAAGUUCCAGAGGAUUCACGAAAUAUUUUUUCCUUUAUUAUGAUAGUAUAAUAAUAAAAAAUCAGCAUAUUAACAUCUAGCAAAUUAAUAAUACAUUGAAAAAAUAUUAUACCUCACUUAUUGCAAGAGCAGCAUUUGUUGGAUCCCUCUCCUAUCUAUUGAUAACGUUUCGUAAUGCCUUCAACAGUUCAUCAUCGAAUCCAAGAUUAUAACAAUGAUGGUACGACGGAUUAAGAUAAUAACCUAUCAUUAAGAAAGAAAUCACUCCAUUAACAAUACAAGACUAUUAAUGAACAAUCAGUAAUAAAUAGUUUUGUUAUAAUUUAUAACUUACCUGCUAGGUGUAGAUCCCGGCUCAUCUGGACGUCCCAACGUCUGUCAAUAAUUUUUAGAAAAGAUUGACACCAUAGCGGAUUAGUUUUUUUACUAUUAUCUUUAGCCAUCCUCAGUUUAUAAUAGGCAUGUCCCAUUUGAGGUAUUUUUUCCUGAUCCACUAAACGGAGGACCACAUAUAGCGCCUCCACAAUAUCAACAAUCUCUUUCAUAUAAUCCCAAAACUUGGCAGACAGAAUUAUUUGCUCAAUCGAUUUUUCAUCAGCCGUGGAGGCAUAACGAGAUGUUUGCCAUUCAUCUGAUGCAAACAUGGACUUUAAUCCAUUUUUAUUUUGAAGGAUACUGUUUAGAGCAAUAACAUUUGUUGCACAUCGUGUGAUACCAGGACGUACGAGUUCUCGUCCUGUGAAAUUCACCAUUAAAGCAUGGAUCCAAAGAUGAUUAUACAAAUACUUAGAUAUACGUUGUGCAGUAUCUAUAGUUUUUUUCACCCGAUUUAUCUCACCAAAGUCAGACAUCAUUAGGUUGAUGCAAUGCGCUGCACAAGAAGUCCAAAAUAAAUGUGGAUGCCUUUGCAUUAAUAGCUUGCCAGCUUUCUUAUAGUUUGCACCAUUGUCCGAUAUAACUUGUACCACACAUUUCUUACCAACCUCACAUAACACUUGUUCCAAUAAUGCAUAUAUAUAGUCAGCAUCUUCAAAUCGACUGGUUGCAUCGAUUGAUUUGUGAAAGAUCACCUUGCCAUUAUAAUAAAUUAAAAAAAUUAUAAUGCUCAUUUUUGUUGGUCCUGUCCAACUAUCACAUAUCAAAGUCACACCAUACAUCUCCCACAGUUGUUUCAAGUUUUUUACCCAUACAUGAAUAUUAUUGACCUCGGCGUCAAGGUAUUUGCCAGAGAUCUCAUACGACGUUGGGGGUUCAACUCCUAGACUUUCUUUUUGUAUGGUAGCAAUCAUUGAUCUAUAAUAUGGAGUGCUUGCUGCAUGGGAAGGAAUAUGACUAAAGUGAAAAAAUUUUGCUAUUGCUCUACCAAUUCUACCUUUUUUAUCUUUUUUUAACAUUGUAUCUAUAUGCUGCUGUUGAGCAUCUGAGUGUGGAAAUGCCAUUGGGUCUAUAUCUAUAAUAUUUGGAUGUCUUCCACUUUUUUCUUUUGGUCCUUUUUUAAAUCUGUCGAACAAACGGCUAACAGAACCACUGCAAGCUAAACUGACGCCGGAACUUAGAGGGAACGCGGAGAUAGGACAAAUAUAACACGAUAAAUACUCGACCCGUCGUAGAAUCCACCACGUCGAACUCAAGCACACUCACCACUAUGCGGAAUCCACCAACACAAUGGUUGAGCAACACUCUUCUCUCACAGGAAAUCUACCUAAGAGAUAGGAGCAAGAAGAAAUCCUUCUUCUCAAAUAAAAGUAGAAACUUCAACUCAACUUGACUUGCCUUUUCAUUAUAAAAUCAUUAGAUAUUUAUAGGCUCUCAAAUGACCCGUCAUCUUCUUUACACAUUAAUGCACUCUUUAAUUUCAUAGAGAAACUAAAAGGCACUUUUAGGAAUACUAAAAGACACACACAAAUCUAGACUAUCAUAACUCAUUUUAAGAAAACGAAAAGACAAUUAUAGAAACAACGAGAUAGAGGACACUUAUUCAACGGAAUUUAUUAGGUUUAGUUGUGUUCGGAUUUAAGCAAAAGUGGGUAUUUGCCGAGAUAGGUUAAAUGAGUAUAACGGGAUUAGAUCAAUUGUUGUGUUUGGGAUGAAAUUAGGUUAUUCCUAGAAUAAGAAAAAUAGUUUUGGUUAGUAAGAUGGAAUAAGAAUUAAAGUGGGUAGUUAUAAAUAAAAAAUAAUAAUAUUAUUCUUUUCUUUAUAUUAGAAUUAGAAUUUUUAUAUUUUAUAUUUAUAUUUUAAAAUUUAAAAUAUAAACUUUUAAAUUUUAAAAAUCAAAAUUAAAUUUUAAAAUUUUAAAAUCUCAAAUUUAUAAUUUAAAAAAAUUAAUUUAUCAUGAAUAUUAUUAGAUAAUCAUAAAUGUUAAUUAAUACAUUAAUUACCAGAUUAAUUAAUCAUUAAUCAAUUAACCAUGAGUACUGUUAAUUAAUAAAUUAUCUAACUAUAAAUAAUUUAAUAAGUUAACAAAUUAGGCUAAUAAAUUAAUAUAUUAGUAAAUUAAUUAAUUAAUUAGUUAUGUUGGUAAAAAUAUUAAUUUAUUAAUCAAUAAAGAUAUUAGUUAUUGCAUAAACACACUAAUAAAUAAUUAUUAAUUUAGCUAAUAUUUUAUUAUUAAAUUAGUUAAUUUUUAAUUUAGCUAAUUAAUUAAUAAAAUGAUAUAUAUAAUAUAUUAAUUAAUAAUAUUUUAUUAUUAAACUAGUAGAGGUAUAAAGAGAAAUUUUGUUAUUCCACCAAAAGGGUGGAACAACAAAUCUUCCCUCUUAAUGGGUUAUUCUAGAAUAACCCGUUAAGAGGGUGAUUAAAUAAACUCACUCCCUCUUAUAGUGUUUGGAUGAAUUAAAGUGAUAAAGUGGUCUAUUCCCACUUUAUCCCUCAACCAAACAAUGCCUAAGUGAUUAAUGGCUUCAUCCAUCAACUUCAGGAACGGUGUCAUAAACCAGAUGGUGUAGACCCAGACCCAGACCUAGACCCACCACCGGCAUCAAACUGAGAGCGUCCAAAUUGUGCUCUAUGUCGUUGGACUUCAUCUUGCUGCCAUCUUUCUUGUGCAGAUGCUUCCAUGACAGCUCUAGCAUCAGCAUCUAAUUCGUCUCCUAUACCUUCAUAUGGGUCAAGGGGGAUAUUCUGCCGCUCGUUUAUCUAGUUCAUCUCGAUCAUCUCUUUCUUUUUUGCUAAUUUUGAAGAUUCUAACUCAAUUUUCAUUGCAUGUCUUAUUUCCUGAGGGACUUUAGGGCAGUUCGAUACUUCAGAAAAACCCCCAGCAAUAUGUUUCUUUAGGCGAGUGACACCUCCGCCCAUUCCGACCAUAUUACAAUAAUUGCACUUCCAAUGAAACCUAUUCCCAUCAAUCAUUUGUCUAUGUUGCCAACCAUAAUCUUCUGAUCGUUUAGGUGGCAUUAUGAUCUAUAAUUAUUGACAGACAAACAAAUAAAAUAAAAUCUAUUCCAGAAAAAUAAGAAAAAGAACGAUAUGAUGAAAAAUGUAUCAUAUCUACCAAGUACCAACUUUGAAAAUUCUUUUGUUUUUAUUUUUAUUUUUUGAUAAAUUUGAAAAAAUUAUAACAGAUAAAAUUAUAGAAAAUUUUAUUUUUUUUUUCUAAAAACUUUUCAAGAUCUGUAUAUUGAUUCAAUUAUAAAGAAUAUAAUGACUAGAACAAUCCAAAUAGGACCGCAAUUAUAUCCAUAAUUUUUUUCUUUUUUAUUCUUUUAAAAAAUGUAGUAUAAAAUACAAAGUUAGCGAAAUAGUUUUCUAAAAAUUAUAAUUUCUUAAAAUUAAUUUAAAUUUAUUUAUAUUAUUUUUUAAAAAUUAUUGCAGGUUAUAAUUUUCAAAAUACAAAGACAUCUUUUUUUUGCUAUUUCUUUUGAUCGUAUUACUGCCUUUCUUUUAUAAGAUAUAAAAACAUAAGUUUAAAAUUAUUUUUGUAAUUAUUUUUUAAUAUUUUUUUAUUAAAUUUUUUUGAAAAAUUGUUAGAUCAUCUAACGAAAUAGCAAUAAAUUAAAUGACAAAUAAAUUAAAUAAACUUAAAUAUCAAUUGAUUUCAUUUAGCUUUUAAGUUUAUCAAUAUUUUGUGUCUUCUAAUGCAAAAAAAGAAAUUAUGAUUGAUGUUGUUUACCCUGAUUCACCGAAUGCUUCAUGGUGCGAGAAAUUUUGAUAAAAUAAUUUGCGAAAAAAAAAGUGGAUGUCUGUGCUGGAUCGGAUAUGUCAAUUAAAAAUUAGCCCCUAUAUUUAUAAAUAAAAAAUUUAAAUUAUAAUUUUUUCAACUUACCUAACAAGCAUGUCUUUGCCUUCUUUUCAAUCAACUUCUUUUCAAGCGACGAAAAAAAGAGGACAUAAUUUUAGGAAGAUAUGUAAGAACUGAAAAGAAAAAAGAGAGAGAAGAUAGCUAAGCAUCGACAAAAGAAAGAAAGGGGAAGAAAGAAUAAGAAGGAAAGAAAGAUGGGGCGCGGGGGUCAGGAGGUGGAUUUGCAUGAAUUUAUAAUCUCACAAUUGCCUUUGGAUUACAGUUGUUUGGCCUUUGGGUAACCCAAAGGCCGGCCAAACAAAAAGACAAAAAAAAAAAUAAUUAGGUCGUGGGCAUGUGACAUGAUGCCCACAGCAAAAGCACUUGAAGAAGGGAUCCAAAGAGAGGGAUUCAAAGAGAAAAAAAAGCAAAAGCAAAAAAAAAAAGAAAAAAAAGAAGAAAUGAACGGCACGCGGCACUGUGCCGCGGCACAUGGCCGCGUGCCGCUUUGUCUCGAGUGGCACGGGCCAUGUGCCGCGGCACCCGGGAGGGUCCGAGACCCCAUCUGUACCAUACCGUACGGCACUCCUUGAUAUAUAGACAUAGAUAUGGUAAUUGGUCUGCCGAUUUCGAUAACACAUACCCAUUUGACCAAUAUUUCAACCCGAAGUAUGCCGAUUUCGGGUCCUCGAAACCUCCCUACACACAACACCAAAACAACUCCAUAAACCAACGUCACCCUAUGCAAUUCAUACUAUUCAGAUCAACCACUAUUCUCAACAACAAUUAUAAAUCAUCCAAAAUUACUAUUUUCCACCCUUUAAUCCUUCUAUUCUUACCUCGGUUGAGUAUCAACAUGUUGGAACACAAGAUGUAAUCACUCGCAAGCUCUCCUCAAUCCUUUGCCCAAACUCCGAGCUGUGUUCAAACUAGAAGUCACCAGGAGAAGCUUAAUCAACUUUAGGGCCCUUCUCCAACCAAGGAUCCUCAGCUUGAAACCAAGCAAAAAAUAGAAAGAAGAGAGGAGAAUAAAGGGAUUUCUUAGUUGGGAAAAAACCAUGGAGCAGCUAGGGGUGAACACCUUUUUAUAGGGACGCAACGAUUGUGUUUUAACCCCUCAAAUCCAACAAAUUAAUCUCCCUGAACGACUCAGUUCGAAACAUGAUUCGGGCGCCAGUAACCAUUUUUCGGGCGUUUGUAACCUUAUCAAUAUAGCUAGCUUGCUCCUUGUGGUGCCCGGGAACUAGGGAUGUCAAUGGGUAUGAAUACCUGAAAUUUUAUUCGAAUUCGAACCCAAAUGAAACGGAUAUAUCCGAUACUAAAUGAUAUGGAUUCGGAUAUGGAUAUCAAAAAUAGAAACCCGACGGAUAUGGAUUCGGAUAUGGAUUUUGACUGUACCCGACCCGAACCCGAACCCAACCUGAACCCAACCCGAACCCGAAUUUAUUUUGUAUAGGCUGGGGCUACUGUACUCUUAUGAGUAUAGAAUACCUUGUACUAAUAAAUUUUUAACCGUUGAUUGAUGGGAUGUGUGGUUAGGAUGAUGAUGGUCCCCACUUAGAAUGAUAGUGGUCCCCUAGGGUUGAGUGGGUAGUUGGUUGAAUAGUAUGAUCUAACAGGUGGAAAUGAUCAUAGAAUAAAUCUAAGGGCUGAAAACUUAUGAGUAUAAGAGAGCCAAUACUCAUAAAAGUAUAGUAGCCGGACUUUAUAUAUAUAUAUAUAUAUAUAUAUAGAGCUAGAAUACUAUCGAUAGCAAACGGGCUCCGUUGCCACCCAUUUGUUUUCGAUGAUGGAGCCUUUAAAUCGACGAUUGGCACCGUUGAACAUGAUCUAUACGACUUGAAGUGUUUAGAAAUCAAAUUUGAUACAUUUUCGAUAUUGUUCUCUUAUUCAUCGAGUGGACACAAAAAUGAACGGCUGAAAAUGAAUAUUCUUAAAAAAAUGAUGAUAGGAGUCUUGUAAUCAAGAUCAAGAGUAUAGAUCUUGUUUUAAAUAGUUUAAAGAAUUUUCUAACAAAAAUUCAAUUGAUUUUGAUAUCUUUACGCCGUUAAACGAGAAAACACCUUAUAUCGACCAUUAAAAUUACAAAUUUUGAAACCCUUUGAUCAUUAGGCAAAUAAUGUUGAAAAGAUUUGAAAUUUGAUUUCUAAACACUUUCAAGUGGUAUACAUCAUGUUCAACGGUGUUGAUCGUCGAUUUGGAGACUCCAUCAUAAAAAACAAAUGGGUGGCAACGGAGCCCGUUUGCUAUCGAUAGUAUUCUAGCUCAACUCUCUAUAUAUAUAUAUAUAUAAAUUUGAUGUUAUAUUUGAAUUUGUAUUUUAAAAAUUUAGAUUUAAUAUAAUAUAUUUUGAAAUAUUGAAAAAAGAAAUACUUGUUUCGGGUUCAAAUUUUUUGGUUCGGGUUUGGGUUCGGGUUUCGGAUUUUUGAUCGGGUUCGGGUUUGGAUAUGGAUUUUUAAAAUCCGUCGUGUUCGGGUUCGGGUUCGGGUUCGGGUCUUGGGUUUGGAGUCGGGUUCGGGUUCGGGUUUUUGAAAAU